Molecule: long non-coding RNA, 55379 nt
Filed under: Malus domestica (apple)
Lineage: Eukaryota; Viridiplantae; Streptophyta; Magnoliopsida; Rosales; Rosaceae
Description: long non-coding RNA (MDOM_LNC003503)
Rfam family: tRNA (bases 12262-12349)
Source: RNAcentral
UAGCAAACAUGCCCAAUCUUUUACUCACAUUCGAGAAAACACUCCCAACAAGAUUGCUUGCUCCAAAAUCGAAGAGGCACCGCCCUCCGAAUCUCGAGAGCCAGACUCCCAACAUGAUUACUUUCUCAAAAAUCGAAGUGACACUGCUCUCCGAAUCUCGAGAGCCAGACCCCCAUCAUGAUUGCUUUCUUAAAAAUCGAAGAUGCAUCGUUCUCCGAAUCAAUCGAAGAGACGCUCGCUUUCUCAAAAGCUGGGCUGCUCAGAGACCACGAGGGCCGAUCUCAGAAAUCGAAGAGGCACCUACUUUUCUAGCCUUGUCAGCACCUGUCACACGCACACUCAGCUUUGCGGAAAUUAUGGGCAUUCUGUCGAAGACUUCUCGAGAGCACAGACCACUUUUUCAAAGUGCUCUGACAGAGUUAAAACAUGUGAAGCUGGCAGCUCCCACUACCGUGCUAUGACUAAGCAGGGUAAAGGAAUAGCAUUACUACUUGUUGUUAGGGAGACUCCUAUAUAUGUCGACCUCCAUCCCCAACGGACAGGCAGACCUGCAAAAAUGUUCAACCCUUCCUCAUAUUUGAGAGGGCACUCCCAACGAAGCCUUUCGAAAUAUUCAGCUUUCUUUCCCCCCGAUAAUACCUUUGCAAACAAGCUAUACUAGAGCAAGAAUAUCUCAUAUCAUCAGGGUUAAAAGCAAGAGUAUCCCAUAUCAUGCUUUUUCCCUGUCUUUUUCCUUUGGCCUUGUUGUUACCUGCAAGACAAGGAGAAAGAGAGCAAUCAGUCAGCACUUGGAAUCAAGCUUCCAGCCAGGAACUGACUGCCUGGAACCCCUUACGUGAUUACUUACCUGGCAUUGCUCUCGAGUACUCAUCUUCAACAUCUUAUGUUUCCAGGGAAGAUACCGCAUCUGCUUGAGGAACAGAUAGGGCAAUUGCGAAGGAUACAAGGAAGCAUGUGGAGACAAGCGUAACAGCACACGUGCCGAUACAUCCAUUACUCUGUCAAAAGCAAAAGUUUCCCAUAUCAGCAGGGUCGAACGUACUCUAGAUUUGAUGGACUUGUUUUGACCCUCAAAUUCUUCAGUCGGCUCUGGAGGAAACCAGAAAACCCUCCAGCUCAGUUCAAGAAUAAGCCUGUGGAAAGUUACUUCUUCAAAAGCAAAAGUAUCCCAUAUCAUCUCUUCUCAUCUUUCUUCUCUUUAUCCUUCAUGCUGCUGCAAGAUGGGGAGAAGGUGAACAAUCAGCCGGAGCUCUGAUUGCUUACCUUGUCUGUCACCUCUUUCAGCAGAUCCCCUAGCUCGGCGACUUGGGAGACUCCUACUACAUGGUUUGUAUCGCGCUUGACCAAGCCUGAAACUACAAGUAAGCUUCAAGUGAAAUUGAUACAUUACCUUGUGCAUCUCCACCAGUUAAAGAUACCACCCCUGGAUGGAGGAAGAGUACUUCCAGAGAAGAUGCCACAUCUACCUAUGAGACAGAUAAGGCAAGUCAAGACGAUACCACACUCCGAUACUUAGAAGUUUCGUGAUUACGAGAUCAUUCUCUCACAAUAUUUCUUAAUGUCAUUUGUACUAAAUCAUUCACUUGUACUCACUAAAGGAGAGCUUGAACCUAUGUACUUGUGUAAACCCUUCACAAUUAAUGAGAACUCUUCUAUUCCGUGGACGUAGCCAAUCUGGGUGAACCACGUACAUCUUGUGUUUGCUCUCCUAUCUCUAUUCAUUUAUAUACUUAUCCACACUAAUGACCGGAGCAAUCUAGCGAAGAUCACAAAAAGCGACCGUUUUUGCUGCCUAGGAUCUAUCUUGCAAGAGAACGGAGAAUUAGAUGGAGAUCUCAACCAUAGAAUACGACCUGGACGGAUGAAGUGUAAGAGUGCAUCCGGCGUGUUAUGUGACCGUCGUAGGCCACUGAAGCUCAAGGGAAAAUUUUAUAGGACGACAAUAAGGCCAACGAUGUUGUAUGGCACAGAAUGUUGGACGGUGAAGCAUCAACACGUACACAAAAUGGGUGUAGCGGAGAUGAGGAUGCUUCGUGGGAUGUGUGGGCACACGAGAAAGGAUAAGAUUGGGCAUGAGGAUAUCCGAGGUAAAGUAGGAGUAGCCGAAAUUGAAGGAAAGAUGAGAGAAAAUCGGUUCCGGUGAUUUGGACAUGGGCAAAGAAGGCCGACUGACGCUCCGGUUCGAAGAUGUGACUACGGGACAGAGGUUCAGGGCCGAAGGGGUAGAGGAAGACCUAGGAAAACUUUAGAAGAGACUCUAAGAAAAGACUUAGAGUACUUGGAUCGAACGGAGGACAUGACACAAAACUGAGCGCAAUGGCGUUCUAGGAUUCAUAUAGCCGACCCCACUUAGUGGGAAAAGGCUUUGUUGUUGUUGUUGUACCAUCAAAUCUUUGAAAAGUUUAACUCAACGUGUGCGUACAGUACACAAACAUAUUUCUACAUGUAAUUAUGCAUGUGGUUUGCUUUGGGUUUUUUUUUCCGCUCCUAUUACAUUCUUGUCUUAUACCAUAUGCAACGAAGUCAACAAUUAAUGUAAGAUCCGACCCUCCAACCCCAUGUAGAUGCAAACUUGAGCAUAACAAGAUAAUCAGAUAAGAAUGUACCCAGCAAAUGCCAGCAUAUCCAUCUCAAAACGAAGAUGUAUGGACAUGAAGUGACCUCGUGAGCGAAGCUUAUCUACUAUUGAUUGACUUAUCUUCAUUAUAUUUGUCUUGAACCUCAGAGCAUGAUAGUUAACCCUGCACCUUAACCGUUGAUACUCAGGGUUGUCAAUUUCUUCUGCCAAGCGAUGUGAAAAGGGAGUAAGAUAAAUAGCACCAUGCUCCUUCAUUUUCGCAAGUGCAUCUGUAGUAUACCAACUGAUAGGAGCAUCUCGAGGGGGACGAAGCUGAGACAAGGUUUAGAGGAAGAGGGAGUUAACAUUUCAAACCUAUUGAAGAAUUCAAAUAGAUUUCUGAUUUUGAAUUUGAUGAUAAAAAAUACAGAUGAUUUACCUGUACAGCUUUUAUCUUCUUGGUCUUCCCAUUUUUGCGAAUUUCUGGUAUUUUUUGUACUAUUUUUACAUCAUACCUCAAUGACUGGAUAAAAUGCUCAACAUCAUAGAUACCGCCGAAACCACUGCACAUGUUACAUAACAAUUUAUAGACUUAACAGAAACCAGCAUACAAUUGACAAUGAAAGUGCAUAAGACACAUUACUCACAGUUCGUCAGAACGAAUUCCUUUGCUUUUCCAAGAAAAUAUAAGAUUUAUGUCGUUACCAUAAAGUAGGAAGGGAGAUAUUCAUAUGAAACUAUGCAAAAAGAUGCUAAUGGUUUUGCAAGAAAAUCCAUUCAUGCAGAUAUCUUGAAGCUUUCUCUUUCCAUUCAACAAAGCAAUAGACCAGUCAUUGAAAUGUCUUUUUAUUCACAGAAUUGACUAAUUAUAUGUGACACGUCUCCUAUGUAUCUGCGUUUUUGUCACAAUUUUAUCUACCUCAUCUCUCUUGGUUAAUACUUAAUAGCCUCAGUCAGAAAAUAAAGUUUAUAAGUCUAUAAAAUGCAAAUUUUGAAUACACCAAGAAACCAAAUCUGCCUAUGUGAAUUAAGGAUCAAAGAACCAUUGAAAUAGAUACCUGUCAUCAUGCCAAAAAGAGUUUGCAUCCAGUUCUGGCAGCACAAGUGUAGCAUUCAUGAUUCUUGCUGCGAGAACAGCAUUGCAUAUCUAAAACAUCCAAGGGAGUAAUAGAAGGCAAAUAUUUCCCUCGUCAGAUACAUGAGUGAAAAUAUGUAAUUACAGACCAUAGAAAACAGAAAAAGAUACGAACCGCUGUACGUUGUUGAUUGAGACCGCCAUUACAGCGCACGCGUAGGUAGCCAUUAGUCUCACUUGGUGGAGCUGCCACAGUAGAAGCAUCAGAACAAUUUUAAAACAAACUUAUUGAAACCAUUCAUUGGGGGGAAAAAAAAAGGAAAGACAUACGGGGCCAAUCAGAUCGUGGAGCUGAUGAUGGUCUCCAACCACCAGAAUCAGCACUUCUCCAAAGUUUAUCCAAGUUAAUCUGCACAAACAUGGCAAGAUAACUAUGAGUCGAAUUUUCAGCAUAUAAUAACAAUCAGUUCCAAAGGUCACAGUAAUUCUUAUCUUCCUCGAACAAACAGAACCUCUUAACUUCUCAAGAGUGUUUUGAAGACGAAAGGAGACGUGUGAUUUAAGGUGACAAACUAAAAAUGAUAUCCCACCUUUGUUAACCCUAUCGCACACAUACAUGAACAAUGUAUAAGCUUGCAAACAUUAAAACUUCAACAUAGGGGCCACCACAAAAUACGCAAUAAAAACUCUUAGUAACAUUGAGAUGUCGAAUUAAUAUAAUCAAAUGCAUCUCAGAAAGGUACUUUGUGAGGCCUAAUUUUUUCAUAGUUUUAGAUAACGUAAAAUUGGAUAUGACCUGAGUACUUACGCUUGAUUGCUUCAUUUUUUACAUAAUUUAAUUACAUAAACCAAUCAUCUUGAUCAACAAGUUAGAAGAUACUGGAUCAUCAUCCUAAUUAUCUUUGUCAUUGAUUAGAAAGAACGGAAAAAAUAUUAUAGAUCAUUAAUUUCCAACAAUCUCAUCCAUAACAAAGAUAAUCUCGGCACAUAGGUGGCAAAACAAAGCGGCAGAAUUUAGCUUCCGGCGGUCAUUUGAAUGCACCUAAAAAUCUAAAUUAACAAUCAAAUCACUGCCUCAACACGAUAACAUACCAACAAACCACUCCCAAAUACACUGAUUUAUUCACAUAGAGCUCCUAAUUCUCAUAAUUUCCAGGCAUCAGUGACAUUUGCAUACAAAUAAUCAUAAUUUAAGUAAACCAUCGUCCUUUUCAAGUUAAAGCUCGAGCCGUCAUUCGAAAAAAAAAGCACUUCUUCAUCGUUAUAACUAACUCCGGAAAUCAAACCGAAAACAAAAUGCCUAAACUAACAUACCAAACUCUACUCACAGUAAUAAUAAAACCAUCGAAUUCGGAAAAACAACUAAAAAAAAUUUCUCAUCAACCAAACAGACUAGACUUCUUCCAAAGCUAAAAUUCAACGGAGUAAAUCCGAAAGCUCAGCUUCCAACUAACCUCGGAGCCAAAUCCAGAUCCACCACCACCGCCGCCGCCGCUGGUCGUGGUCAUAACCAGAAACGAAACGGUGCAGAUCAGGAGAACCACGACGCCGAUCAAUAACCUCCCAAGCGUGCCCUUCAUCACCCCUCCUCCUCCUCCGGCAGCUUGCUUCGAGUGCUGCCGCCCCGGUCUGCAUCAAAUCAACGGAAAAAAUGGGAUUACUUUGUGUUUGGUUAGCGGGAAACUAGAGAAUCGGAGUGAGGGAAUGGAAGGAAUUAGUUGGGAUUUACCUUCGCAUUGUAAUUUGUGAUGAGAAAAUUCAGCUUCUUUCUUCCUUUCUUACACUUCAACUGCUGCCACUUUGUGAUCUCAAGUCGCAAGGAAAAUAUAUUCAGUGUUGAAAUUAUAUAAAUAAAAAUGAAAUAAAUUGUUCCAUAAAAAUUAAAAAAGAAAGAAAGAAAUAAACUGUGUUUGUCCGGUCGGCCACACCCACACCCACUAGGGCCACUCUACCACCACCCGGGCUCCAUACUCAUUUAUUCUUCGUAAUUACUGUGUUUUUUUUUUAAAUUACUUUUUCUGUGCAUGAGAUAAACGGUUAUAAAAUAAAAUUGUUUAGUAUUUGAUAAACUUUUUUUUAUCUAAAAGUUCUUUUAACAAAAAAAUAGUGUAUGAACGUUUGAUAAACUUUUAUAUAUGUAGUAUCCCAUAUCGGUGGGGUGGAGGUUAGUCCCUGGCCUUAUAUGUAUAUGCUCCUCUUCUUAGCAGUGAGGUUCUCUUGCUCACGAAUAAAUUCGUGAGGGUGUGGUCCAAAGCUAACAAUAUCGUGCUACGACGAAAUUGAGAUGUGACAAUUUGGUAUCAGAGCCACUCCCCUACUGGAAGUGUGCCGACAAGGACGUCGGGUCCCUAAGGGGAUGGAUUGUAAGAUCCCACAUCGCCUGGGGGGAGGAUGUGAUGUGCCUUAUAUGUAUAUGUCCACCUCCCUAUAGUGAGACGCGUUUUGGGUGGAAACUCAAUAACAAAUCCGUAAGGAUGUGGCCCAAAACGGAUAAUAUUUUACCAUGCUGACUGAGAUGUGACAAUAUAAAUUGCUUUAAAUAUGUUCAAUGACUAAAAAGAAUAUGAUAUUUAAUGUGAUAUAAUAAUUUCAAAGAAAAUAAUGUAAGCACAAUGAUAUAAUUUUGUAAAAUAUGUGAGGUUGUACUUGUCAUUUGAAAAUUUCAUUAAAUAGGCACUGAUUACUAUGUUUUUUUUUAAAAUAAAAAAACACUUGUUUUAGAAGUAUGCUAGAACAUACUUCUGGUUUUUUAUGUUUUUCUACCAUUAUUGACAUCAGUUUAAAAAAAAUUGUUUUAUCAAACACAUUUAAUAUUCCAGAUUUUUUAUUAAGUUGUUUUUUUUUUUAAAAGCACUGUAAUCCCAAGCCAGCCGUAAUAAACACAGGUUUGAAUGCAACUGCAUACACUCCACAUCAAUCUUGGAGGACUACGAGUGGAAGAACUCCAAUCAUAAAAAGGGCUUGAUUAUUUAUCACUCAUUCAACUUUAGUACUGUAAAUAUCUCUCAUCUCAUCAAUAUGAGAUUUACUCUCAACACUAGUUAUAUUAGUGUUCAUAAUUGAUUUCUUAUGUGUAAUAUUAAUUGAUAUAUCCCCAUUCAAUUCGAAUUAGCAAAAGCAAUAUCUCAAUGCAUAAUAUGGGAAUGUCGAAGAGUUGAAAUAAGUGUAGAUCUGGAGAUUCCCGAAUAGGUUAACCUUUCAAACUGCAACUUAAUCCAUAUGCCUUCGGGAACACGGGCACAAGUGAUGCAUAGUUGUCGUCAACUCGUGCCGUAAGGUGUGAGUUAAGUCUAGUAAUGAGCGCAACCUUUGUGUUUAGUUGUCACCGUUGAGUUUGGAACCCUGAGCAAACUGCCGGUGGUGUUCUUUUAGGCACUUCAAGUACUUUUUCAUAAUUCACUUACAUUUUUACUAGACCAGUUACGUAAAUAUUUUCACCAAAAACGUUUUUAGUCAUUUUAAAAACAUUUUCAAACAACUUCGUACAUUUUCAUAUAAAAGCAAAGUGCUUCCCUUGUAAAGUCUAGAGCUUUUGUGCUUCCUACAAGUCUAGAGCUUUUGUGCGUCCCUAGUAAAGUCUAGAGCUUCUCACAGUAAACAAAAAUGGCGUCUCAGUUGCAGAAGAUCGAAGGAGACGAAUCCGUACUGCUCCGCGUUACACAUUCCAAUCUGAAGACCUUCUCCGCCGACAUCCGCUUCUCCCUCCAGAGCUCCGUCGAGUCCGUCAAGGACAAGCUCUGGCGCAAAUGCGGCACCUCCGUCGAUUCCAUGUCCCUCCACCUCUACGACGACGCCAACACCCUAGUCUCCACUCUCACCGACAACUCCAAACCCCUCGGCUUCUAUUCCCCUCACGACGGGUCAGCUCUCCCUCUCCCCCUCUCUCUCGCAUGUUAUUUGUUAAUUGUGAUUUUUUAUUUGGUUGCAUUCUGGAUUAGUAAGAUUGUUGCCUACAUCGUGUUUGAUAAAAUGCCGCAAUGAAUGUAUGUUAGAGAAGUAUAAGAAUAUGAACAGACAAGUUGAUGUAAAAUUGUAAUACAAAGAUCAAUUUGGUGUAUAUUAAACCGAAACUGAAUCGAGGGUAUACAAAAAGGAGAAAGAAUUGAAAACUGACUGUAUGAAUUGAUAGGGGCUUGCAGAGCGUGUUACAAUGCCCUUAUAGACAGAAUUUCGCCUCUACUUUGUCGAUGUCCACCGGAAUUACUCUUAUCGAAUUCAAGUUCCUAGCACAUGUAUUUUUCUCCGAAAAUAUAAUGAGAGCGCGCCUUAUCUUUUGAUUAAUUAAUCAUCCCGUUUCUAAGCCACAUGGACGAUGGAUCCGUCCAUGGUGAUUCCUUUACUCUAAAUUACUAAGUCAUAUCGACAUAGGCGUAUGAAAGAGAUGUUGAUGAGUUGCUCUCAUCAAUGUGGGACAAUAGCACUUUUAAUUUUCAUUCGAACUCCAACAAUGUAGAAUAUGAUUUGGUGAUUCUUUUGGUUGGCGAUCUCUCUAGGUUGGCCAGCUACUCAAUCUGACAAAGUGAUACCAAUGUUUGUUAGAAACUACUGGUUCACAGUUGCAGUGUUUUGUUAGUGAGACCAAUGUUUGUUAAUUGUGAUUUUUUGUUUGUUUUAUGUGUUUUCGAAAUCGAAAGAUUCCGGCUACAUGUUGUAGACUUGGAUCCUUCGUCGGUGACCUCCGGGGGGUGGCUGGAGGACACAUCGUUGGUGGAGAAGUACACCAUUUCACAAGAAGCUUAUGAGAAGAGGGAUGGUGAGAGUUUCCCAAUAUAUUUGUAAUUUUAUGUGAAUAAUGUCUGUAAAAUGUGUGUUUUUAUUUAGUUCAAUGCAUAUUCUUAUUGUUUUGUCUGAGGGUUCGUGUUUCCGGGGUUUUGUGAUCAGGUACUUUCAGAAAAUUUAAGGACAAAUUGGUAUCGCAGAACCCAUCAGCAGUUGAGAACAAAGUAAGCGUUUCCUAUAUAUGUUAUUUGUUCCUUCUGUAAUCAAAUUACACCCCGUUGCUUCUACUGGUGUUUGCUAAUCAUGAAUCAAAUUGAGUUGCUUAGUUGUUAGUCAGCAUUGCAUGUGGAAGUGAAUGGAUGUGUUGAUAAGUUUGUUGACAGAAGUUUCUCUUUGUAGAUACCAGAGAACUACAUGGAAGAUCUCUGUGUGAAUAUUAAGGUCCGUACUUUUCCCUUUUUAGUUAUUGGUGAUACAAGCAUUUUCAGUCCCUUAAAAUUAAUCUAUAACAUUUUAUAAGUAUGAACUGGCGUCGGUUAGUAAUGAACUUAGAUAUGCUGAAUAGAAGAUGGAAAAGAAGAAGCUUAAGAAACCAAUAGAUUCUGAUUGCAGAUCAAGUAAAUUAGUCACUAUUUAUAAUAUUCGUAUCGCUACUUGAUCUUGUGGAAUCACACUGUACUUUAAUGAGCUGCAUCUACACUUGAUUCAUAGACCACUCAGUAAAAUCUCUUUCUUUCUUUAAAUACUUGAGUUAUAUGUAUAUUUUUCUGGUGGCCAUAUAAUCUAUGAAAUUUAAGAUAGCGCGAGUUAAAGUUUGUAGAAUUUAAGUGGACCUAUUCAGAGUAUUGUGCCAUUAAAUGGUGAGUGUGUAAGAAUAAUCUGACCCUUAGACAACCGAAGAAUAUGAAGUCAUAGUUGACUUCAAUAGUAAGCUUCUUCUCUUUUGCAGAAACAAUAUGCUCGACUUACAAUAGGUCUAAGUCCAAUAAUGAGCACCAUAUAUUGUGAGAGCAGUGGCCACUAUUUAUAUUGAAACAAUCCUUGUGAUUCCCCUAUUAAAAUCAGGGUAGGAAACUGACACACAAUUCCCAUCCAACUAUGAGUGCUGAGUAUCAAAAUUUAAUUAAAGUUUCAAUCCCAAACUGAUCAGGACAACUUUAAACUCUUCAACAAGAUCUUUCUAUACCAAUUUGUAACACUAUAGCCAGUUUCUAGCAAUCACAAUCAUACUCAUAUUCUAACAGAUUGUCCUUCAAACCUUGUCGGUUUGAAUCAUUAGCAUCUAGGCGAAUCAUUUUUUAGAUGCAGUUGGCAUUUUCUUCAGCAUUCUAUAUGGAACUUGAACUGUAGUUUAAUAUGAAUAAAUGAACUUUUUAAUACCAUUUUCUUUCUUGCUUUCUUGUAUUUUGUCUAGGAGUUGAGAUAAUUCUUGCUUUCCAUGAUCUUCUUCAAAUUACAUGUGUUAAGUUUCAAUUUAUCUUGUCUUAUUUCUUGCGGAGCAAUAAUCAUGAUUGCGUUAGAUGUCUUCAUUUAUAUGUUGAAGGUAGGAGAUAGAUGUGAAGUUGAACCAGGGGCUAAAAGAGGUGUUGUUAAAUUUGUCGGUCGGGCGGAACCUCUAGGUCCUGGUUUCUGGAUUGGAGUUCAAUACGAUGAACCCUUGGGAAAGCAUGAUGGCAUGUAAGUGAGCUCCUAAAUCAUGAGACGUCUUUUUGAUUCUUGUAUGCCAAUAAUAAAUAUUGUCAAUUUUCCUUUUUGUGUUCGCAACAUAUUUCUCAGUUAUAAAAUUUAAACUGCUUUUGGGAAUUAAUCUUGCAUUCCUGUCUUCUGCAUAUUAUUUGGUUGACGUUAUUCCCCUUCUUCAUGUGAUAGGGUGAAGGGAACGCGUUAUUUCAGUUGCCCCCCACUUCAUGGUGGAAUGGUUCGGCCAGAAAAAGUAAAGGUUUGUAUGCCUUACUCUGGACAUGCUUUAAAAUGUUUUCCUCCUGAUUUCCUUGUGAAGAUGUGAAGUAUAUUAAUCUUUGCUUCCAUUUGGUUAUUUGGCAAGAAGUAGGAAUGUGUUUGUUUUAAACUUUAAUACGACCUGUUAGCUCAUGUUGCCACCCAUCUGUGUGCUUGGAAUAAAUCCCCUUGUCAUGACAAAAGAAAUAAAUAAGCCAAGAUGACAAACACAAGGGAAUACCAAGAUACAUAUUUCAGCAAAAACCUGCCUACACCGCCGACUAGCUUUCACCUUUCCUAAAUAAACUUGUACAAAAUAAUGCUCAAGAACUACUCUCAAACCCGAGCCCUUGCAUCCAAUAUGGAUACCCCUUGUACACCCCCUCUAAAGUCAUAGAAGUAUACUGUACCUUUCUCCAGUUCUCCCUCCACCAACUCACCUUUUCUUCUCAAAAUAAAACACUUUGAGUUGAAUGAGGAAUGAGGCGGAAGCCUCCAUAACGGUCACAUGUGUGAUAAAAAGUUACUGAAAGCCACUUUGUAAAUAUUCAACCAAAAAGUUUUGGCCACGAUGUUUCCACAUUUUGUAUGCCUGCAUACAUACUCUCUGUAUCUGAUUCUUCACAAGUUGUUAACACCGUUCUGGUGCAAAAACCGUUCCAAUCUGAAAUGUUAAAUGCAAUUAUUUUAAAUGACCUAGAGAAAGACCCUGCUUAUGAAUUGAAAGGAUUUCUUUACAACAUGGCCUUUUUGUGUAUUCACUGUACGACUUCUUUAUGGAUUUGACUAAUGUGACGAGUACACUUUCAGGUUGGCGACUACCCUGAACGCGAUCUAUUUGAGGAGGAUGAAAUUUAAGCAGGUCUUAACGAGAGUACUUCUGUACUUCCAUGUUUCGGCGUGACCCUUUUGAAGCAAUCAUGUUUAAGUUUCCUUAAUUACAUUUGUUUUUGGUUGUAAUAUUAUCGGGAGGGAGUUAUGCGUGUGAAAAAUCCUUUGAUGUGUUCAAGGCAAGGGAAAAGUUGUUAAGGUUCCUCAAGGGUCGGAGCGGAACAUUCGUUUUGAGUCUGCCACCCGUAGUAGGUUACCGGAAUGCUUGCUAGUUGCUUUGCAGCUUGUUGGGAGGAAAUCUGGGGAUAAAAGAGGGUAAAGAAACGAUGGUGUUGUCGAGGUUCUUCGGAUUGGGUUAUCUUACAAGUGUGUGACGAGUUUGCGAACUGGAGUUGGAAUUCAUAAUUUGUGAUGGGAUUCUAGGCUGCUAUGAAUGUGAAGUGGCAAGUACACAUUAUCAUUUAAUGUGUUUGGGAUUAUUGAGUUUGUGAAUAUCCAUAAAAAAUAUCUAAAACAAAAUAAAAAAUGCAUAUUGUGCGUGUUUAAUGCGGAGAGGUUAGUAACAAUUAAUUAGGUAUAUAUAAUAUGGCCAUACUGUAUAACCCUAAACCUUAAUUCUGCCGCAAUUCGCCCCGGUGGCAUCCUAAUAGUAUGAUCCUUUCCGUUGGUGCACAAGUAGAGGAAUGCAGCGGAAAAAACAUAGGUGCGAAAAUCAUUAUGCCAAAAUCAUCUGGUUCUUACAGGGUCCUUGCCCAAACACGAGGUUGAAGUUAUGAAUUCAUAUUAUUGAGUGAGGAUCCUCGCCGGAUCCUUUUUGUGAGGAUUCUGGGGAUUUUCAAAUCAUAUUCGUUCAUCAUACAUCGUGCGACUAGAAAUUAUUAUAAAUUUUUGUAUAAAAUUGAAUAUAAACAGUAUCUGACAAAAACUGGCAGCACGAUAUACGAUGAAUGGAUGUGAUUGGAGGAUUCCCGGGAAGCUCACAAAGAGGAUCAAGCGAGGGUCCUCUCUCCAUAUUAUUAACCCUUCUGUCAGUCUAUCCGUUAAGUUAGCAUACAAAGUGUAAUUGUAGAACAUGAAGUGACAAGUACUAUUCCAUAGUUAAGUAGGUAAAUAGGAUUUCCGUGGAAAGGUUAAUAACAAUCCGACCUUAGCUCAGUUGGUAGAGCGGAGGACUGUAGUUGUGUAAAACAGACAUCCUUAGGUCGCUGGUUCGAAUCCGGCAGGUCGGACAUUUCUUUUUUACCCUUUUUCAAUUUCCUUAUCAACGCUCCGAACCCCCGAUCGCUGAUUGCUCCCUCUUUCUCUCUCUCUCUCUCUCUCUCUCUCUCUCUCUCGCCAUACAUCUUUUUUACCCUUUCUCUCUCUCGCCUGAACCAGUCCCUCUGCUCUGCUCUGCUUCUAACAUGGUAAACCCAUCGGAUCUGUGAGGUCAAUUUUUAUUUUCUCACUCUCUGUUUGGUUGCUGAGAAAAGUGUGUAACGGAGUCGCUUUCUCGGCGGCCAAACAGACCCUUAAGGAAAAAUUUGAGAUCAUUAAACCAAAUUUGCAUGAUCUCUUGGGCAUAUAGUUCGCUUAAUUUCCAUUGAAAUUGUUAUUUUUGCAGUUCCUUAUAAUUCUGACAAGCUUUUUCUUUUUCUUUUUUUCCAGUCGAACUCAUUGCGAUUGUACUUGGCGUGUAUAAGGAACACUCUCGAUGCCGCAAUGUGUCUACAGGUAGGUCUUCCCAUUUUCGGGUCCAGUUUUAUGCGAAAGCCGAGCCCUUUUAGCGCUGUUAAUUUCGAUAGAGAUCUGAUUUCUUCUCUACCUGCCUGUUUUUCAUGUUGAAUAUCUGUUAUGUUUAUGUGUAAAAUUAAAAGAAUUGGGCAGAUAGCACUUGUGUUAGUAUUCAGAUGGGAAUUGGUGAAUUUCCACAUGCUUAUAAUGCCUGAUUGAUUCUGUAUCGUGUGCGUACGACGUGCUGCUUGCAGAAUUUUCCUUGUCAAGAAGUUGAAAGGCAUAACAAGCCGGAAGUUGAGCUGAAGUAUGUUCACUUGCUGCCGCAUUAAAUUCUUUAAAUUCUUAAUUUUAAUGUUUUGUAAGUAGUAAGAGAAAACAGGCUGCUUACUUAAAUCUAUUAAGGUGGCCAGUAGAGAAAUGGAUGUCUGUAAUUAUAUGCUAUUAAACUAAGUUUUGUCACAGUAAGGCUUAAUUCAUUACUGUUUGCUGUUUUUUUGUGUUUUAAGAAAUAUCUAGAUUAGUCGUUUUGUAUGACAAGUUAGCGCAAAGUUUACUGGUAAAUGAUGUAAGGAAAUCCGAGUGAGACUAUUUGGAUAUCCAAGUGAGUCUAUUUGGAUAUAGUGCCAUUAUCAGAGAAAUCCCAUCCCUACAUUGUCAAUGGAAAUUAAAACAUGAGCACUCCUAUCGCGGAAGGCUUUCCUCAUUGUGCUACCCUUUUUUUUUUUACAGGCAUGAUAAACACAUGCAUAUUGUGUAUUGAGUUUACCCAUAAUUCAGAAUUUAUGUUCUUUUUGGCGGAAGUUUUAUUAAAACUAAUCCAAAUAUAUAGUACAAGAUGUCCUCCCUAGGAAGACUAUCGCGUUUCCUAUGCCUCAUCAUGUCCUUUAGUGAUUCUUUUGUCCUUCAAAUUUUCACUUUUCAUGUUUUUGCAUGUAUUUGGACACAUUUAGUAAGGUCGUAUGAGAACAAUUGUGUUGCUCACUAUAAAAUGGUGGUUAAAUUCAAAGGAUGAAGGAAACUUAGAACUAUUGACUAAUGUGUUUAGCUGAGAAAGUGUUAAUCUUCUCUUCAUGUUUUGCAGGACCAGCUCAGAACUUCUGCUAAAUCCUGUAAGAACCAUCUUAUUGGCAUGAUAAAGAUCAGUUGCCACCACCCUCUUUUUCUCUUGUCCUUAUCUUAAUGCUUAACAAAGUUGGUUGUCAUUGAACACUUGAACUCUGAUGAGCCAGAUACUCCUAAAAAGAAUAUGACGGAUAUCUUAAGCUCAUGUUACCAAGAUUUCGUUAUGUUUUGUUUUCCGUAAAAAUAUGACGCUGAGCUUUUUGUAUUAUUGCUGUCACAGGUUUUGAUAUGUCGAAAUGAGGCUGAAAAAUGCUUAAUAGAGACAUCUAUAAAUUCCCUUCGGAUAAGCCUCAAGGUGAAUAUACUUUAUUACAUAGUUGGUAUGCUCAAUGGCAGAUGUUCGCUUGGACAAUGUUGUUGUAUUUUGUUUACCGUUUUAUCAUUGACUCAGUAUCUUAUAAAGAAAAGCCAGAAGCUACAUACUUUGAAUUGGGGCUCCGAGUUUGUAAUCUGUGCACCUUCUAAUUUUUAGGAUAGAUUACAAUUCUUGCCUGAAAGAUUUGUAGUUGUAUAUAGAAUUGAUAUCUAUAUCGUUUUUUAUUUUCCCCUUAUCUCUGUUUUUUUUCGGGUGCUCUCUCUUGUAUAGGUAAAGCAGGCAGAUGAGCUUGAAAAUAUACUCACUAAAAAAUUUCUUAGAUUUUUGUCGAUGAGAGCAGAAGCAUUUCAGGUGUUGAGGAGAAAGCCAGUGCAGGUACAUUAAUUCUUUUGUGUAUAGGACAAUAUAUUAUGUAGAUGAAGUCGCAAUAAUUACUCAGCCUUUUUUUUUUAUUUUACUAUGCAGGGUUAUGAUAUUAGUUUUCUUGUAACAAAUUAUCAUUGCGAGGAGAUGCAGAAGCACAAGCUCAUCGAUUUCAUUGUACAGUUCAUGGAGGCAAGCAUUUUCCCAAACCCUAUAAAAUUCCAUGCUUAAUAGUGUUUAUAUUCGUACGAGUUUUGAGUCACAAAAAAACUGGUCAAUUUGUACAUUUGAGAAUACCAAUUGCCUCUAGUUGGGAUGGCGUAGGCUGUUUUUGGAGCAUGCAAAUUUAAUCUCUGGAGCAAGUUUCUUAUCGUUACACGGCUCGAAACUCGUAUGAUAUUAUCGACGUGUACACGAUUAAUAGUGUUUAUAUUCGUACGAGUUUUGAGCCGUAUAAUGUUGUGUUCGAAUUGUUAACUCUCAAUUGCUUCUUUGGGCUGCAGGAUAUUGAUAAGGAGAUAAGUGAAUUAAAGAUGUCAGUGAACACCCGGGGGAGGCUGGUUGCCACAGAGUUUCUGAAACAAUUUAUGUAAUAUUUCUGUCACCAAGUUGUAUAUGAAUUCUGCUUUCACAUACGCUGUUGAACCAUCAGACAAUUUUUUCUGUUACCGUCUCAUAACGGUUUGCCAAUGGUAUGAAAGAAGCUUUGGAAGUGAGUUGCUUUACAUAGCCCAUAUGACCAGUAUUAUCUAUGUUAUAAAUAGGUUCGUGUUUUAAUCACAAAUGGUCUCUGUAAUUACGCCAAAUGCAUUUAUUCACUCAAGUCAAAGACCGAGAUGUUCAUCGAUGUCGUCUUCUUUUCUGUUUAGAUUUCGUGAAAGCGUGUUAGUGUUUUCAAUCACGGACUUCGGUUUUGAUUCCGUCACAGUUUGUUUGUGUGCUCACGUGCCACGCGUGGGGCGAAUUGACUGUUGAGUAUUAAGAUUCUCGACUUUCUUUGUUUUUGAAUAUUUUAUUAAAAUAUAUGUUUCAUGUAUGUAUAAUUGUUAGUCUUCUAAGUUCUAACAUAACAAAAAAGUUAAAAAGGCAGCCGUGUAAUCUCACAAAACAAAAUUUUAAUAUUUUUUAUUUAAGUUUCACCUACCGGUGAUUUUAACGUCUCAAAUUUUCUCUAAUUUUAUAAAAUUAGAGGAAAAAAAUAAAAAUAAACCUCUCCCCACUCCCAUGUACUCUCUCUCUCCUCCUCACCUUUUAAUAAAAACAAAAUUAAAAGGAAAUUAUUAUUAGUCAUUCAAAAAUUUCAUUCGACACUCCAAACUUUCUAUAAUUAGAAAGAAAAAUACACUUAUGAGGAAUGUAGAAUGAAAUUUUUGAAAUACUAAUAACAAUUCCCAAAUAAAAAAUGUUCAGUUGCAUUGUCUACCUUUUGCCUUCCGUUAUUACAAAUCUUUCAAUUGUUAUAAUAUAAUGAGUUUUUUAGAAUAGUAAUAACAAUUCUAUUAAGUAAAACAAUAAAAAGGGCCAAUUGCCAUGUAAUCGUGUGACAAGAAGCUAGUAUUUUAUAAAAUCUCAGGUAUAAUGUACAAAUAUGUCUUGACUGAGCUGAUACCUAUGAAAAGCAACUACAUAAGUUAGUUCUUUCUUCAAGUACAUAUAUACACACAUCUCCCAGAAUCUAUCAUUAUACAUACAACAGCGACUCGAUUCUUCACUGAACCAUAACAAGUCCUGCUAGAGUUAGUAUAUCGUGGCACGCCUGAUCGUAGUUGCUGCAACGCAAAUUCCAGCAAACCAACCGGACUAGCACAUCGGUAGGAUAUGACACAGAUACGAUAAAAUCUGGUCAAAUGAGAGCAGCAACUCAAUAUGUAGUUGUAUAAAAGCAUAGCUGCUGCAAUUGUACCAAAGCAGAGCAGAGAUCACUAUGUACCUUUCUGUUCUUGUAUCUACACAUGCUAUUAAAACCUGUACCUGCUGAACUGAACUUUGGAUGCAGCCCAAAGCCGAUCAGUCACAUGGGGGCUGGCCUAUGAAGCACCGUUCACGACAGCAGGAAUAAUUCCUUGUGAUGCUUAGGCAUCGAAAGAUUCAAAUGCAGCUUGCCCGACUGACACAAUUUCGCAGGGUUCUUGUAUACCGAGACCCUUGCAGCAUUAUUACCCAACAAAAUGACAUGCAAAAUGCUGAAAGCUUCACCUUUUUCAACUGCGAAUUGCCACUCCCUCAUUGAUAUGCGAAACCAGUCUUUUGUCCGGAACUGGGUUGCUUUAACUUCAAUGAACUCGGUACUAUCUUCCUUCUCCCCUAUAACUAUGUCAUAGGGAAGCCCGGUUUCGUUACAUUCAUUGACCCACUUCACAACAGACUUUCCAGCUUUUGCUAUCAAGUAUUUAAAAGCAACAAGCUCACCUAGUCUCCCGGUCAGCAUCGCAUCUCUUCCAUCUCUUCCACUGGAUGUACCAGCAUGUCUAGGUUGGUCUCUUUGGCUAAAACUAGACGAACGCAUCUCAGGAGGGUCAGAAACAAAACCUAAGUUAAAAGGAUCAAAUUCAAUACGCAUUCUAUUGUCAGUCUCAUUGCAAGCUGCGCCAUAAUGUUCUUGCAGAUCAUUGGAGUCUGGCAUAACUAAAGCCGCAGAUGUCGUUGCUGAAUCAUCUUCAAUGGUCCAAUUAAUGUCAACUGAACCUGGAGUCAAAUCAUCCAACUGUCCGAUAAUGCCACGAGAAUCAUCACACAUUUCUUUUUCCAAGGCACUGCUAAACUGUGCAACCGGUGCAGUUUUCCAAUCAACAGGUGGCCACUUUAUUGCUUUCCUUUUGGAUUUUGAACAGCUUUCCUCAUUUAUUUCUGUCGAAGUUACACUACUUUGGAGUGACUUGUAAUUGUCUGUCAAUGAACGCAUUGAUGGCAGGGACCAAACAGAUUCUCCGCCAGAAAGUUUCGGCACCUUUUGGCUGUUCAAGAUAAAAAACUCUGUCUGCUCCUCAGUUGAACCUGAUUCAGCCAUGGUUGUGAUCAUAUGAAGGAAAUUUGCCAAGUGUAAUUCUGGAAUUCCGUCAAAAAACAAACGUGAUAGCUCCACAAAAAAUGCGUGUGAAUCUGGCUCUUGGGUCGUAUACAAUGUGCUACCCUGUAUUUAUAAGAUGAAAAGAAUUAUGGCUUUGAAAGAGAGUUUCCAUGUCCCCAUUAUGCAAGUAUCACAAGUGCUUGGUACAAAAUCUUCCGAAUUCAAAAAGCAUAACCAUCAACAUUGUAUUAGAAAAAGAUUUACAUAUUAUGUUACCAACAUGUUAUGAUUUCAAGGGCUAAUUUGUUAACAUUGUAAAUAUCAGUAUUUUGAAAGGCAGUCGAGAAUCUCCUGACCCGUGCCUCCAUUUAGAAGUUUCCUAGGAAUGCAAACGCCUGACUGUGGCCAAGUUUUGUUAAUUGUUUUGCCUUUCACCUAACAGUCUAAUUUUUUGUCCUAAAAAAGGGCGUGUAUAGCCACUUUGUCAGGUUUUAAGAAUGAAACUGAAUUCUGUACCCCCUUUUCUCUCCUUCCCAAAUAGAAUACCAGAACAAAUUCUGUACCCUCUUCUCGGUCUGAUCCAAUUCCCAACUCUCUCUUGACGCUGUCUUCAAUAGCUUCUCCUCCAACUCAAGGUCUCUUUUCCAUUCUCCACAACAUGGCGGCGAUAACCUAGAAAUUUUACCUCAAUGCUAAAUGAUUGCUAAUGUUUCUUAAGCUCCCAGACUUAGUAUUAGCUAUUCAUUCCAUCGUUUGUUUUAAGUUUUAGUUAGUAAACUUUUUAAAUUAAUUAGCUUAGGUCUAAAGGAUUACACCUCAGCACUUACGCUUACUGCUGGCCUUUCAAACCAUUGGUAAAUAUAGUGAUCCCAGCCAACUUCUGAGUCAGUUUGUAUUUUGGUAUAAGCAUAUAUGCAUUAGGAACACACACACACACACACACACUUGAUGAAAGACAAAAGAGAAUACCUGCAGCAGACAGCUACAUCUUAGCCUCUUCUUGGAUUUAAUUCCGAAACUCUUUAUAACGUUCUGAUAAAACAGCUUUUCAACAACUACUACUUGUAGACGAUUUACUAUAUCAAAUCCAAAGUGCUUGAGUUGUGUAUAUUUAUCAGGGUGUACACUUUGUAAGUAGCGUUGUGCAUAUGGAAGAGCCCAAUCCAGCAAUGCAGCUUUAAAGCUACAAUCUCCCAGACCAGAAAAUAUUGUGUGACGAGUUACAGCCUGCAUGCAAAUGCACAAAGUGGAAAGAUGACAAUUACAUUUCUAUCAAGUGUACACUGUUUCAUCUAUUUAUUUUCCGCAUUAAUUUUGCAAUAUAUGAAAUCCUAAAUCUUGUAACAACAUAUCUUUUUACAAUGCAGAUAAGCGGAGGGUUUCUUCAAACAACAAGGAGCUGGGUCAACUAUUCAAUCAAAUGAAAUGGAGCAUGUCUUCUCAUAUAACAAUAUAACAUAGUAACAAUGCAUGGGCAGAUGUAAAAAGUACAACGUUUAAAAUUCUUUUACUUUGAACUUCAAAGCAUUUUGCUAAUGAUUCAGAGACGCACAUAAAACCAAAGAUAUCUCACCUCUGAAAGUGCAGGAAUCCCUAAAGCUUUCAAGAGAAUGGAAACUUUCUUAAAUAGCAUCUCUACAUCAUCGUGACUUAAUUCACCGAAGUAUAAAAAAUGAACGCCAUCCAAAUGCAUAAACUGCUGUCUUAACAUCAAAUCAUCACACCAGCAGACAAAUCCAAAGGAAGGAUGUAGAGAAACCCACUUAUCUUGCACAGUAGGAAGCACCGUGCAUUCAAUCUUCGUAAGAGACCCUUUCAGAUAAAGAAUAUCUUCAGCACUUGAUCCUGACUUCAACCCAUCAGUCCAUUUGAGGAGAACUCGAAAAACCUGCAACAAGGAACUCUUACAUCACCGUGCAGCUUGCACUAGUUAUAAUAUUUCUACAAACUCGAUUACUUACAGCAUUAGCUGCUUGUGAAGGCAAAGCAACAUUUGUUAAAUCUAACAAAAUCUGAAGGUAGCUCCGAAAAGGUGGGGUCUCAUGUACUCCAAAGUGACCAACAAAGAAGUCAUGAAGGCCUGGGUAGAUAUUACGAAGCAUCUUAUUUAAGGGGAUGUGAUUGACAGCUGUUGAGCUGCACUCAGGACGGACCGCCUUGAUAAAGUUAGAGGAAUCAUCCCAAUAUACUUCUUCAGGGGACAAAAAUACACCAGACACCACAUCCUCGUGACUGAAGCCAGAUUGAUAUGGAACAAAUAUGGAAGGUCCAGAAUGGAACUCGUCCAUAAUUAUCUGCUUUGAAGGAGCCAUUUCAUUCCAAACUAAUGAGUAAAAUUUGAACAUUUGUGCUAGGCUGAGACAGAAGACAAGUAAGUGUGGUUCAAUAUGGGCACAAGCAAGGAAAUUAACAAAUAAAAGAGGAAAGGAAUGCGAACAUACAUGAAUCUCACAUGUCAAGCAUAAAAAAAAAACAAAAAAAUUGAGAAACUUUUUAUGUGGAAUUUUCUAAGCACACUUUGGAAACUGUACAGAAUAGCACAAAGUCUCACAUGUCUACUACAAUCAAUAGAGGUCAAGACUAAGCUCGGAGCAGAGUGCACUAGUUCUGAUUUUAUUUAAUAAGAAAAAGAUAUCUUAUCCCUUCUGAAAAAGCUUUAGAAAACUACAUCGAGAGAAUACGAUGACUUGGUAGAGAUAAACAUAAGGUAAAAAUGUAACACCCCCAAUUGAGAUUUGGAAAAAAUACCCCUUUUGGGAGGCCCAAAAAGUCUUUUGCCCCCUUUUUAAAUUUUAUAGACUUUUUCAGGUGCGAAAAGUCUUAAGUGCCCUUGUACCUAGGUUUAAUUGUUUUCAGUCUCCCUUAAAUUGCUUUGAAACCUAAGUGUUCUGAACAAGACAAAGUCUGUAAACUGUCCUACUUCCUCUUGAAUUUCUCACUGAUCAACUACCCGAGAACGAUUGUGCUUUUAUCUCUCACGUAAAACCAAAGAAAAGGCAAACUUACGGCGUUGCGCCUCUUUCCAGGUUCACCAACGAGUAGUCACCUCGACGAGAACCCACUACCUUCCUCCUUCUCCCUCGAGGGGACGUUGAGAAAUGUUUGCGAGAUCUCUUGAGGUGAUGUUGAGAAUAACUUGAGGGUUUUUCGAGGAGAUGUUGAGAAAACCUCGAGGGUCUCUAGAGGAGAAUGUCGAGAAAAGCUUGAGCUGUCUCAAGAAAAAAAAUACAGGGCCGCCGUCUUGCUUAGUGGGGGCGUCGAUUCAAGUGUUGCUUUCUACCUCCUCCACGCCGCCAGUCACUCCUUCACUACCUUGUACAUCAAAAUUUGAUUCUAAUUUUCUUCUUAAUCUCAAACCAAUAGAUCUGAAACUUAUCCCUAUCUAUGUUGUCCAAUUGUUCAAUAUGUAUAUAUAUCCUUUGUUGCUUUGGUAUGGAUCUUUUUCUUGCGUUAAUUUCACUUUCAUUCAUAAGGAUUCGACGUAAUUGUGGAGUGCCGGCUGUCGACUACCUGACGCCCUCCCCCUCCUCCUUUACCCGGGCUUGGGACCGGCAAUGUUAAUUUCACUUUCAUUGACGGAUGAAAAUCAAAAGCGCAGCAAACUCCAAAUUUUUUAUAAGCAUAGAUUAUAGUGUGAUGGUAAAACUCCAGGACAAAGUCAGACUACCAAAAAGGCACAACAAUAAUAUGAACUUUGUGAUGGAAACUCGAAACUUUUAUGCAGGUCAGUCGUAGAAACAAAGAUAGAUAAGAACAAUGAGAAGCAGAGGCGUUUUGUUUGUCUCGUUCCAGGUAGAAAGGGAAAUAGGUGUGACGCCUAGGUAUAAGUGUUGUGUCACGGGCUCCAUAAGUGUCCACUACUAAGGCUGCCAUGCACCAAUAUUGUCCCACUUAACCACCUAAGCCCAAUAUCCUGGGUGGUAUCAAGCCCAAUGGACCUUUGGUGUGAGGUUUUAUCUCAAAAGACCUCAGGGCAAUUAGAAGUGGAACACCUAUAUUUAAACCUCAGAUUAAUGUUGUACUUCUCCGAUGUGGGAUUCCCUUCACAUCCAUCUUUAGCUUGUAUCGGGCCAACUUUUUACACCAAUAAUAAGGGCACUAAAGUUUUUGUGCAUGCAAAAAAGGGCAGAAAUCUAUAGAUUUUAAAAACAGGAGCAAAAGACUUUUUAAGCCUCCCUAAAGGGGCAUUUUUCCAAUUUUCUCAAUACCUUUGUGACCGGAAGGUCACUGGUUUGAGUUGUGGAAAUAGCCUCUUUGCAAAGAAAAAGUAAGGCUGUGUACAAUAGACAUUCCCCCCAACCCUCGCAAGGCGGGGAGCCUUUUGGGCUCGGGGUCGCACUUUCUUUGUAUUCCCAUGUUUUUCACUUUUCAUCCAUAAUGAGGCUCAUGGAAAAGGGGUAGAGGAAAACCUAAGAAGACAUUUAAAGAGGCUAUAAGAAAAGAUAUGGAAUACUUGGAUCUAACAUAAGACUUGGCGCAAAACCGAGCACAAUGGUGUUCUAGGAUUUAUAUAGUUGACCCCACUUAGUGGGAAAAGGCUUGGUUAUUGGUGUUGUAUCCAUAAUGAGGAAUAAUGGUUUAAACUACCAUUUAACUCCAUUGGAUAAAAUUGCUUUUUAUGACGAAAUAAAACAUAGCUAAAGUGAUACUUGAGAACUCAUAAAUAAAUCCCUUUGAAAAUGAGUAGGGACUUUGCCAAGACACAAAAACUAAGAAUCACACAAUCAUUUUCUUUAUUAGCCCCACCAGCAUGGUCUUCAGAGGAAUUCUAAUCCGACAUUAACCCAGACCCAGUAACCUGUGGCUGACAUCGGUGAUCUUUGCUAAAGUUUAAGUUUAACAAAACAUAGUGUAUGCUUACGUAUUUUAUUUUGAUCCAGUUUCACUGAUGAUAAUGGUUAACCCCGAAAAGGUAGAUUACGAUAUAAAAUACCAACGACUGCACUUCCAGAUAAACGAGGGAGAAAAAAAGUAAUCAAAGCAUACCUGGCCCUGAAUGGUUUCUCACACCUCCAGAGUUUCAAAAUCUCAAGAACAUCGCCAAGAGAGAUUCUUGUCUUAAACCCAAUAUCACUUGCAAACUUUCCACUUCUCACCUGUUUCAAAGAGAAAAAGGUAGCACAAUCAACAAUACAGGAAUUUUUAAACGACUUUAGAGAUUUCAACAUAGCUGAAACUGUGAUUGAUAACAGAAAGAUGAAUAAUGGACAACAAAAACUCUGUAUAGUUUAAAGCUUGUUACUGGUUAUUUGGUUUGAAGCUUGUUGUAUGAUACAUCUUGCAUUAUAAUAGAAAAUACUGCAGUAGAUGUCACACAACUUACAAACAAACAAAAAAUAUUUUUGUAUUAAUGAGUUAAUUACAUAUAUGUUUUCUCUCUCUCUCUCUCUCAAAGAAAAGAAACUUUCAAAAUUUUUUGUUUUUUGUAUCUUCUCACACUUACGAGGAAAAGUACAUGACCUAAUGUUGAGAAUAUAAUUCCCACAUCAGGAAAUUCCAUUUUCUAAGCGUUGCAAUGCAACUUAUGAAACCCUGGGUUCUCCACAAAUUACCAAUUAGUCAACAUCACAACUGUAACAUAGUCUCUUGAGAUCAUAUUUCUAUGACUACAAACAUCCCAAUGUAUGCUGCUUUCAUGUCUAGAGCUCACUAGCAAUGGGGAAAAACCCACACGUGUGGGGAAGUGUUAGAAUAUCAAAACAGAUGUUCGCUCACGUCCUGACAUCAUACACUUCUCAGAACAGUUGUAAAGUUAACAAUCAAAAUUAUUGCUGACCUUGCAUCGUAGCAAACAAUUUAUCUACGUCUGAGACUCAUCUUUACCAGAGGUGUUUUGUGUCACCCAACAUAAUUAAUGUAUAUGUUUUUCCCAAUCUGACCACAAGGGAGGAAUGCCCAAUCAAAUAAGAGAAUAUAACUAAUAAGGGCUUAAGAAACUUUUGGAUUACCCAUAAACAUUUGUCAAUUUUUUUUAACAAUUAAGGACAUAGUUUAAACUUUCUCUAACAAUUAAGAACAUGGUCGACGUAGAUAAGUUUGCAACUCACGUACCAACAAUUGGGAUUUUUUUUACAGGUUUUGUCCUCGGUUGUAAAAACAAAUUUACUACAAGUUAUUAGGAAAGUUAAAAAUUUGGCAGGGGCCUAAAUGUCAAACUCCAUUCAAAUAUUCCAAGUCUUGCAUGUCAGUGUAUGAAAUCAUCGGCUUUUCCAACAAUUGAUCCACGGUUGGAUGCUCCAAAUUUAACAUCUUAGAACUGGAACAUCUUUUUUCCUAAAUUUCUCAAGCUAGUAAUCGAUUACAUGGGUCAACUUAACAUGAAAAACCAUAGGAGAAAAAUAAUACGGUGAAAUCCCUUUAAAGUCAUAAAGUUGGGACCAAACUAAUUUUAUAUCUUUAGAGAGGUUAUUACUUAGUAGAGGUAUAGUUAAAAAAAUAUUAUUUAGUGUCUUAUUUAUCCUUCAUGAAUGUUGUAUUCCCUAAAUAAGAUUCUUGAUGAUGAUAGUAUGGAAAUACCAAAAGUUUCAUGCCAAGAAGCUAUAAACAUGCUCGAAAAGUUAAGAGACAUUUUUGCUUCAACAAGAAAGUGUCCAUGUUGACGAAGUAUUACAUACGUGCAAGCUCAAAAACGUGGCAUCAAAUCUAAAAACUAAAGCAUUGUCUCAAACAACUUUAGAGAAAUAUUUAGUUCGUCUUAAACUUUUAUUUGUGAUAUUGCAAAUUUUUGUGCUCAUUGACAAUUAUUACCAUGUGGAUGUGUGUUUCCUUAACAUGGGAGUCGGUUAGAGACGUUUUGUAUAGAUUUCAUAUAGGGGAGAAAAGGAUGCAAUGAGGACUUAUAUUUAGACAUUUUCAUAAUGACAACAACAACAACAACAACAACAAAGCCUUUUCCCACUAAGUGGGGUCGGCUAUAUGAAUCCUAGAACGCCAUUGCGCUCGGUUUUGUGUCAUGUCCUCCGUUAGAUCCAAGUACUCAAGUCUUUUCUUAGGGUCUCUUCCAAAGUUUUCCUAGGUCUUCCUCUACCCCUUCGGCCCUGAACCUCUGUCCCGUAGUCACAUUUUCGAACCGGAGCGUCAGUAGGCCUUCUUUGCACAUGUCCAAACCACCGGAACCGAUUUUCUCUCAUAUUUCCUUCAAUUUUGGCUACUCCUACUUUACCUCGGAUAUCCUCAUUCCCAAUCUUAUCCUUUCUCGUGUGCCCAUACAUCCCACGAAGCAUCCUCAUCUCCGCUACACCCCCCACUUUGUGUACGUGUUGAUGCUUCACCGCCCAACAUUCUGUGCCAUACAACAUCGCUGGCCUUAUUGCCGUCCUAUAAAAUAAAAUUUUCCCUUGAGCUUCAGUGGCCUACGACGGUCACACAACACGCCGGAUGCACUCUUACACUUCAUCCAUCCAGCUUGUAUUCUAUGGUUGAGAUCUCCAUCUAAUUCUCCGUUCUCUUGCAAGAUAGAUCCUAGGUAGCGAAAACGGUCACUUUUUGUGAUCUUCGCUAGAUUGCUCCGGUCAUUAGUGAGGAUAAGUAUAUAAAUGGAUAGAGAUAGGAAAGCAAACACAAGAUGUACGUGGUUCACCCAGAUUGGCUACGUCCACGGAAUAGAGGAGUUCUCAUUAAUUGUGAAGGGUUUACACAAGUACAUAGGUUCAAGCUCUCCUUUAGUGAGUACAAGUGAAUGAUUUAGUACAAAUGACAUUAGGAAAUAUUGUGGGAGAAUGAUCUCGUAACCACGAAACUUCUAAGUACCGGAGUGUGGUAUCGUCUUGACUUUCCCUUAUCUGUCUCAUAGGUAGAUGUGGCAUCUUCUCUGGAAGUACUCUUCCUCCAUCCAGGGGUGGUAUCUGUAACUGGUGGAGAUGCACAAGGUAAUGUAUCAAUGUUCACUUGAAGCUUACUUGUAGUUUCAGGCUUGGUCAAGCGCGAUACAAACCAUGUAGUAGGAGUCCCCCAAGUCGCCGAGCUAGGGGAUCUGCUGAAAGAGGUGACAGACAAGGUAAGCAAUCAGAGCUCCGGCUGAUUGUUCACAUUCUCCCUAUCUUGCAGGCAGCAUGAAGGAUAAAGAGAAGAAAAAUGAGAAGAGAUGAUAUGGGAUACUUUUGCUUUUGAAGAAGUAACUUUCCACAGGCUUAUUCUUGAACUGGGCUGGAGGGUUUUCUGGUUUCCUCCAGAGUAUAAGGCCGACUGAAGAAUUUGAGGGUCAAAACAAGUCCAUCAAAUCUAGAGUACGUUCGACCCUGCUGAUAUGGGAUACUUUUGCUUUUGACAGAGUAGUGGAUGUAUCGGCACGUGUGCUGUUACGCUUGUCUCCACAUGCUUCCUUGUAUCCUUCUCACUUGCCCUAUCUGUUCCUCAGGCAGAUGCGGUAUCUUCCCUGGAAGCAUAAGAUGUUGAAGAUGAGUACUCGAGAGCAAUGCCAGGUAAGUAAUCAGGUAAGGGGUUCCAGGCAGUCAGUUCCUGGCUGGAAGCUUGAUUCCAAGUGCUGACUGAUUGCUCUCUUUCUCCUUGUCUUGCAGGUAAGAACAAGGCCAAAGGAAAAGACAGGGAAAAAGCAUGAUAUGGGAUACUCUUGCUUUUAACCCUGAUGAUAUGAGAUAUUCUUGCUCUAGUAUAGCUUGUUUACAGAGGUAUUAUCGGGGGAAAGAAAGCUGAAUAUUUCGAAAGGCUUCGUUGGGAGUGCCCUCUCAGAUAAGAGGAAAGGGUUGAGCAUUUUUGCAGGUCUGCCUGUCUGUUGGGGAUGGAGGUCGACAUAUAUAGGAGUCUCCCUAACAUCAAGUAAUAAUGCUAUUCCUUUACCCUGCUUGGUCAUAGCACGGUAGUGGGAGCUGCCAGCUUCACAUGUUUUAACUCUGUCAGAGCACUUUGAAAAAGUGGUCUGUGGUAUCUGGAAAGCUGAUGUUGCGUGUGAAGAUUACAGACAAGCUUUAUCCAAGGAGAUCCAGCUCUUGAAGUUGGGAAAGUGGUGCCUCUUCGGUUUUCGAACAAGCAAUCCUGUCGAGGGAUCUGGCUCUCGAGAUUCGGAGAACGAUGCCUCUUCGAUUUUUGAGAAAGCAAUCCUGCUGGGGGUCUGGCUCUCGAGAUUCGGAGAGCGGUGUCUCUUCGAUUUUUGAGAAAGUAAUCAUGUUGGGAGUUUGGCUCUCGAGAUUCGGAGGGCGAUGCCUCUUCGAUUUUGGAGCAAGCAAUCUUGUUGGGAGUGUUUUCUCGAAUGUGAGUAAAGGUUGGGCAUGUUUGCUAGUCUACCUUGCCACGAAGCACAGAGGUUGACACACAGGGACUUUCCAAUUAUCCAGCAGUGGUACUGUUCCUUUACCCUCUUCGAUUUUUUAGAAAGUAAUCAUGUUGGGAGUUUGGCUCUCGAGAUUCGGAGGGCGGUGCCUCUUCGAUUUUGGAGCAAGCAAUCUUGUUGGGAGUGUUUUCUCGAAUGUGAGUAAAGGUUGGGCAUGUUUGCUAGUCUACCUUGCCACGAAGCACAGAGGUUGACACACCGGGACUUUCCAAUUAUCCAGCAGUGGUACUGUUCCUUUACCCUUGUGGGUAAUAAUAUGGUAGCUAGACCUUCAAAAUUUAUGUGUCUAAACUUUGUUAGUGUUGUUUCUUUGCUAUUCUUUUACCCUUCUUGGUCAGAGCGAUGUAGUGGGAGCUGCAAGCUUCACGUGUCUCAACUUUGUCAGAGAACUUUGGCAAAGUUAUAUGUGGUACCCAUGAGCUACUGUUGCUUGUGGGAAGUGGGUGAUUGAACAGUACGAUUCAUGUGCUUUCUACUUCGCCAGAAAUCUUCAACAGAAUGCCCAUAAUUUCCGCAAAGCUGAGUGCGUGUGACAGGUGCUGACAAGGCUGGAAAAGUCGGUGCCUCUUCGAUUUCUGAGAUCAGCCCUCGUGGUCUCUGAGCAGCCCAGCUUUUGAGAAAGCAAGCCUCUUCGAUUUCUGAGAUCGACCUUCGUGGUCUUUGAGCAGCCCAGCUUUUGAGAAAGCAAACGCCUCUUCGAUUUCUGAGAUCGACCCUCGUGGUCUCUGAGCAGCCCAGCUUUUGAGAAAGCAAACGCCUCUUCGAUUUCUGAGCAGGCGCCUCUUCGAUUUCUGAAGCUUCGUCGAGUGCAGAUUUUUAUAGGGGCUGACAUUAAGUUCCAAAGCACACUUGAAUAUCCACCAGUAGAAGCUCCAUUCUUGCACUUCUAAGAUCUUGAUUUGUCCGACCUCUUCUCUCUUCAACACCUUUGAAAAUGUCUGGCCCUCCGACCGUCGUUUUGACUUGAACCUUGUUGAAGAGGCAGCCCCGCCUUCUCCAGACAACAUAUGGCGCCCAUCCUUCGUCUCCCCUACUGGUCCUCUUACCGUUGGGGAUUCCGUGAUGAAGAAUGAUAUGACCGCUGCGGUAGUGGCCAGGAACCUUCUCACUCCCAAAGAUAACAGACUACUUUCCAAACGGUCUGAUGAGUUGGCUGUUAAGGAUUCUCUGGCUCUUAGUGUUCAGUGUGCAGGUUCUGUGUCUAAUAUGGCCCAACGCCUAUUUGCUCGAACCCGCCAAGUUGAAUCAUUGGCGGCUGAAGUGAUGAGUCUCAAACAGGAGAUUAGAGGGCUCAAGCAUGAGAAUAAACAGUUGCACCGGCUCGCACAUGACUAUGCUACAAACAUGAAGAGGAAGCUUGACCAGAUGAAGGAAUCUGAUGGUCAGGUUUUACUUGAUCAUCAGAGAUUUGUGGGUUUGUUCCAAAGGCAUUUAUUGCCUUCGUCUUCUGGGGCUGUACCGCGUAAUGAAGCUCCAAAUGAUCAACCUCUGAUGCCUCCUCCUUCUAGGGUUCUGUCCAGUACUGAGGCUCCGAAUGAUCCCCCUCCGGUGCCUUCUCUUUCUGAGACUUCUCCUAAGCAACCUUUGUGAAGGCUCCCUCUUGUUUGUUUAUUUUGACUCAAGUAUAUGUACAUAUUUGUAACUUAUCGGGGAUAUCAAUAAAUAAGCUUUCCUUCAUUUCAACGUAUUGUGUUAAAUACACCAAAGCCUUCUUCGCUAAGUUCUUUGAAUUUUCUUUUGUUGAAGCUUGUAUGUUGAAGCUUUGUGAGUGGAGCAUGUAGGUUGAGGUAGUGUUCCCUUAAUUUCCCGAGUGAGGAAAACUUCUCGGUUGGAGACUUGGAAAAUCCAAGUCACUGAGUGGGAUCGGCUAUAUGAAUCUUAGAACGCCAUUGUGUUCUGUCCUGUGUCAUGUCCUCCGUUAGAUCCAAGUACUCUAAGUUUUUUCUUAGGGUCUCUUCCAAAGUUUUCCUAGGUCUUCCUCUACCCCUUCGGCCCUAAAGGUGGUGGGAGCUGGAAUCAUCAGGGGAUUAAUCGUACAAAUAUUUUUAGGGUUUAGAUAGUAGAUUGGGAGACCAAAUCCUCCGAUUAUAUAUCAUCAGCUAUAGGAUGACGUUACUAUCAUAAUUUUCAGUGUGGCUGUUGUUACUUUAAGAUCUCUAUUAAUUACUGUUUUUGUUUCUGGCUUCUGGACUUCUGGUUCACUGAUAGUAAAUUUUUGUUUUAAUAAAUUGUUUCUUUUCCAGGAAAAAUAAAGGAAAGGCAAGUUUGAGUGUACCAUGUUUAACUAACCUUUGGAACAGAAUAUGGAGCAGAUGCACCCAGAAUCGAGCACACUGCAUGACAGCCGUGAUACAAAGUUUUUGGAUAGUGAAGUUCAUCAUCCAUUGUUGAUACUACCCAUUGCACAUCACAGAUACUGCUUAUAAAUGAAGAUCUGAAGGGCCAUCUAUCAGCUACAGAUUUAGAAAUGCAGUAACCUAUUGUUUUAUCACUGUAGCAAUCAUCCCAUAAUGUAUCGAGAACCUCUAAGAGAUACUCACAACCUUUUUUGUCGUCAUCUCUGGAUAAUUGGGUCAAUAACUGGACUAAUUCAGGUGACUCCCAAUCAGUGGCAUUCAAUCCAAGGGAAAUGAUGUCCUUAUUGAACAUCAACUCAUUCAAUAAAGCAUCGGAUAAACUACUGAUUCCUUUCUCAACUUGAACUACUUUCACAAAAUCUGUAACACCAAUUUUCUGGAAAAAAUCCCUCCAUUUCAUCAGUCCACUUGGGAGUGAUCUGGUGGCAGGAUGCUUCAGAUAGGAGAUGUCAACCUCAUGCCAAACCAGAUCCACUCCAUCAAUCAAUUUAUUUAUGUCAAAUGGGUUUCCAAAUGCUUUACUGAAAUGAAUUGAUGCUUCAGCUGGUCGUUUAAAGCCGCCAUUUGUUAAUAUAUAUGCUUUGUUUCCUAGUUCUGAGAUUAUGUAUUCCCUUUCAGAACGACAAUCAUAGCAGUCCGACUGUAGGUGAACCAUUACAAAGCAAAUAUAAUCAGUCAUCAAAUUCUUAUCACUGUCCGUAAACCUGUCAUCAGAUAUAUCCGGCAAGAUGUGCUCCUUGAUAAUUUCAUGUGCGGAUAACUGUUGGACACCAAUCCUACGAAGCAUACUUGUAACUUUGUCAGAUGUCGUCACAUCCAUGGAUGGCACAUCAGCACAUGAUGCAAUGAGAAAGCCAGGAUUUACAAUCCGAAGUUUAGCAUACAAAUCAGGAAAAGACUCGAGUCCAUGCUGACCCUCAAACUCAGUCUUUAAGGCAUCAAAAUGUAACCAAAUUGGGCCUUCAUCCACUGCACCGUAUGUACCAUCUGAAAGAGGAAUGAAAGGAAUUUUUCGAAGGGUAUGUAUGAAUUCCAUUUCUAUUCCCGAUUCAAAUGAAGCUUCGACAGAAGAACUGAAUGACAUUGCAUAAAGUGCACUUAGCCAGGUGGCCAGCCAACUCAGUCCCAUUGAUUUGAGGCCAUUUUGUUUAUGACAUAAAGAGUCCAUAAGUUGAAGCAGAACUUUGGGUCCAUACUCACUAAUACCUAGAACUCUUGCGAGCGGAUCCGGCAGAAGUAUAUUUUUAUCCAAGAACCCAAGGCCAAGAUGCUCACGCAGUAAGGCAUCAGGGAGAAGCAAACGAGCCUGUUUAUUCCAACCUCUUAGGACUCUGCAAGGAGGAACCCAUUCAUUAUUUCCCCCUUCCAUGAGUAAGCAAUUCGAUGCUCGUAAUUUUGCAGUAAUCAAUCGCGGAAGAGGAGAAAAGAAACCAUGCACUUCACCCACAAGCGGAACAAAGGACAUAUAGACUGUCACAGCUCUCCCGGGAUUCUCUUUAAAACAUGGAAGAGAACAAAAUGAUUUCUCUGCAUUGACAAACAAAUCAGGAAAUUCAGACAACAGCCACUGGUUCCAGGGACUAUCUCCAUCUACUUCCUCUCUAGAUGAAGGAAGAACAAAAUCACCCUGAAGAAUAAAUUUCAGUCCAUAUGUUCUGAGAGGUAGAUAUGAAAAAACAGGCUGUUGGAUUAGAUCGGAACUGUAAUCACCAUUAUCUGAUUCCUUCAAAGUAAAUGCAAUUGAGAUUUCUGUUGUCUGUACAUCAGUACGAAUGAAAUCUGCUUGCAAUUUCUGAGAAACUACAAACCAUGUCAUGUUCUCUUUUCCACAUGAAAUCUUAACGAUACCAUCUCCCACAAUAUAUUUUCUCAUGACUGUAAGGGUAUUAUCGAGCAAGUUUCUAAACUUUAUACACUGGAGGCGGUGGAGAAAGAGCAGUAGAGAUGGAUGAAGAUCUGAAAACAUAUUAAUUAUGUUUAUCAUGACAGUUCCAUCUGAUACUUUUGAUCUGAAAGGAAGAACAAUGCAAGUGUUCCAGCUGUUACAAUCCCGUUUAUCAUUGUCAAUAGAUGUCAGGCUGCUAAACAAGUCAAUAUUGCGAGGAGGUACAACUGUGGGCAAAAUUAAACCAAUCUGACCCUCACUUAUAUCAAACUUUAUAUGAAAACCAUUGGAAUGUAUUUCUGGAGCAUCUGUAACCUGCACAAAGACAACAGCAUAAUAAUGAAACCUCAAUACAAGGUAUUCAGAUUGUAAAUUCCUUAUCCAGUCAUAGUAAAUAUUUCUUCUUUUCUAAUAAAAGUUCUGUUUCUUUUCAAAGAAAACAAAAUAAAAUUAAAGAUAUGCUGAAAAGCAUAGUAGGUAUGCUGAAGGCUGUAACCGUGUUGAAGUGCUUUUUUGGCCUCUUUUUUGGGUGGUAUAAAAAUAAUAGAAGAAACUAUGUAAUAUGGAGCAGGAGUUGACUUCCCGAGCAAACUGGAUUCAAAUCCUUGUUUCUUGGAUGCAGUACUCAUGUUAUAUGGCCAAAACAAAGUUCGAUGAGGAAUUAUUUUGCGGUAAGUAUUUUAGGAAGGAAGAAAAGUAUCACUUGGUGAAAUGGUAUUGGGAACUUGCCAAGGACAAAUGAAGCUCACUCACAUUAGGAUUUUGGAGGUUCGAACAAGAGAGUGAGGGUCUUCUGGGUUGCUGUUAUUAGAAGUAAGUAUAAGUUGCAUGAGGAUGGGCGGGACAAAUUGUCCUACAUUUUAAUGCUUAGCAAUGCUUUACAAUCAUAGUUGAGUAGUCGAGCUAGACCAGUGGACAACUUGCUUCCUGUCUUGAAUUGUUCUUUUCUAGUGAAGGCUAUUCUGACCUAUUAACAAUUAUAAAGGCUGUUGAUGCCUAGAGCAACGAUCCAUGAUCUGGCUCUAAACUUUAUUCAACUUAAUUACUUGCAAACUUUCAGUGAAAAAAAUACAAGCCCGAGCAUCUCAACAACUACAAAAUCAACGUGAUUGCGACAGAGCGGGUACAUGAGAACAAAACAAACAGAAACAAUUGAUUGAAAGCAUCCAAAGUUUUUAUGUAUAAUGUUUUAGAGAGAGAGAGAGAGAGACUAAUGUAAUGUUCACAACCUACCCGAAAAACUGAUUUGAAACCAAUGCCCUUCUGCCCUAUGUAUCCAGCAUUAGAUCCUUUCUUGGUUGAAUUUCCAACAUCACAUAGUGCCCUAAUGUUCUGGGCAGAAAAGCCCCGUUCAUUAUUCAAAACAAGAAUACCUGAAUCUUGAAGAAUGAAUGUUAGAGUUGGUUCUACAUUUGAUGGGUAGGUAUUAUCAUCAGCGUUUUGAACCUGCAGCGAUAAAGAAUAAUUAGGUGCAACUCAAACACAAUAAGCAUAUCAGAGGAUUGUUUUCAACUCCAGACUCUUACUAUAGCAUCAAACAUAUAAAGAUGGUAGAAGAUUCAAAUUGUAAUUUUAUAGUAUCCACAAAAUAUUACUGAUGAAAUAUGCUACAUACAAAAAGAUCAAAGAAUAAACAGAUAUACUAUAGAAACUCAGUAACAGUGGUCUUGCAGAUAUUGAUGUCUGUCCAUUAAAGGUAACACCACAUUAGUAAAAAGGAAAAUCAGGUAUGUCAAGCACGCUCAUUUCUAAUAUUCUACAGCAAGAAAUCCAUACGUUGAAGAUCUAUGCCACCUGCAGGGACAGACCACCGCCAGUAGGGAUGGGAAAUCUACCAUUUAACUGAAAAAAAUUCUUAAUGAUUAUAAAAUUUAGGCAGGUCCAGUUUAUUGGUAAAAAAUUCCUCAACCACAGUUUGAACAAACCUUACCGGUCAGAAUUUUUAGAAUUUAAACAUACCUAUUAACGCUGGUAUGAACCUAUUAGUUGUUGCAUGGGGAGAACUAUUAAGUACACUAAGCACACUGAAAGAAACCAAAAAAGGCAGCCUUACCAGCUCAAGAAGAAAAUGGGAAUCCUGAGAAUACAAUUCCUGCGAAAGGCAAUGCAGAGCUCGGCCUAACCGAGUGUGCUGCUUCUUUAGGAUGAUACUUUCAACAUUUGACAGGCUUGAAUCUAGACCAAAUUCAUCUCUCCUAAUUGACUCGAUUACCAGCACUCGAUCUUCCAGUUCAUUAAGUUCAGCAUAAUGCUCUGGGUAGCCACUGACAAUUGUAGCUUCGGAAGCUUCUGCACAACUAAUCUUUAGACAGGCUUCAGUACAUUCAUCUUUUUGCUUGUCUUCCAUAACAGAUGCACUCAUAGUCCCUUCAUAAGCGGCAAGCUUAUCUGACACAUCUUUCAUAUACUUUGAGUCUGACCCCGUUUUAUGCCUAACAGCGAAGCAUGACGACCCAGAAAUGAAUGAAUCAGCAGCAUCAUAGGAACAAAAUUUAUGGAAAUCAUCAAUCCAUUCUAUUAUACCAAGAGAUAAGCCAACUUCAUGAAGCAUGAGCCGCUGCUCUGUUUGCUUGCACUCACCCAAAAUGGCUGAAGCAGCAUGUUUGAAAACAGAUUGCAUCCCUGAAAGCAAUACAUCGGCAGCAAAACUACGAAACUCUGCAGGUAGAUAGCCAAGACAAUCAAUGACAAAUCUUGAUAAAACUGAUUCACCGAUAUUCAUCCGAGUUAGGUCCCUGUGUAACUCAUUACAUAAUUUACUUGUCGAACCUUCACAAACCAUUUGCUUUCCAGAAAAAUCUUUUUCUUGAUUAAGAAAAUUCUUACUGACUUUUACUUCCAGAAGAUGAUUCUUCAAAAUGACUUCAAAUGCAUGCUGCAGAUGAAAUUUCAAAAGGGACACUGGGACAUGUUUUUCUCCCCCAGAUAGUGAGAACAGAGAUAACAUUUUCACUGCUGUUUGGAAAGACGAUCCUUGAAGAGCAGCUUCCAAGAAUGAACCUACAGUAGAUGAAUGGUCUAACCGAAUCACUUUUCCAUCCUUUGUCACCAAACACAGCAGUUCAUCAGUGUUGACCUCAUUCAAUAACCAUAGUACAAGUGGACCAAGAGAGGGAGCAAACAAGAGGUCCCAAUGUGACCAUAAGUUUAAAUCCAACAUCAUUGGAGCUCUGAGUAGGACUUGAAUUGCAUCCUUGGAGGUUACAGAUUCAUGGGUUUUCGUUUUCUUAGAGUGCUUUGAUGAGUCUAUCGGGUAACUAGUUCCAUAUAAUGUCAUUGAAAAUAGAAUACGUUUGGAAAUUGCAGUGCUUUUAUGCUUCUCCACUAUACUCAGAAAAUCUUCUACAGAACUAUUUUCAAUGGUUUGGAAACUAAUCAAUGGAAACUGCUUCCUAAGCAGUAAUGGAAUAUUUAGUUUGCUAAUUUCUUCAUCUUCCCAUAAACUAUUUAUAGCUUGCGAAACUAACACAAUCAAAUAAUGCUGGAGCAUGCAAACCUCCAAAGGACACUUUUCACUUCCGUCACCAGUCAAGAACUUGCACAGCUCACGUGGAAGUAGACAGGCAUAUUUUUCUAAAAACAUUAGAAAUUCCCCAAAACCAAGGGACCUAAAUUCCUUUACACGAAAUUCUUCAACCAACCAAAUUUCACAAUUGCAAAGCUUUCUCAAGAAGAUAAAUAUCUUCUCCUGAAGUGGCUCACCGCUGAUGCACAUUCCAUGAUCAAAUUCAAAAUAUGUAGCAACUUUCCUGAUUAUGUCUUCAACUGACACACCUGUGGAGUAUAAUCACAAAAUACAAUAAGGCACACCAGUUCUGUAAAAGAAUGCACAUGUGGAAGGCCGAAAGGGUGCAAAACUGAAAUAAGGGAAAGGUAUGGUGAAAAGACAAUUUUUUACUUGAAACCAGAGACAAAAUUUUAUUGCACAAAACUAUGCCAGUACAAGGGCUGAUCCAAUAUCCACAAAAACAAAAACAGAAACAGGAUAAUAAACAAGAUCAGCCUGAAACUUAGAAUCUAAAAGAAAACUCCACAAAAUUAACAAACAGUAGCUUUCCAAUUAAGAAGCCAAAUCAAAAUCUAAGGUAACUGAUGCCCUUAAAAUAAUAUGAAAUAGUAUAAUUUUUAUACUACUACAUAUAUUAGACCAUUACACACGGCAAAUUUGGCUAUGAAGUCAGGACUUGGCUAGUCAGUGUAGUCACACAGACUAUUUUCACUCAGUGUAAUGGUUUUUUACUUUAUAUUUUAUGUACUCGGGUUCGAGACUUGGAAGCAGCCUCUCCAUAAAUGGGGGUAAGGCUAGCCGACAUUCACCUCUCCCAGACCCUGCGUAAAGCGGGAGCCUUGUGCACUGGGUACGACCUUUUUUUAUGUACGCUGACUCAUUAUCAACUUUGCUUGGUAGUUGACCGAUUGUAUAGGAAAUGUGGAGAAAACAGUGUAUAAUUAUUUUCUUUUAAUCAAACUAUCACAGAUAAUGUCACUCCUCAACCUUCAAACCUAAAGGAGGAUGAGGUUUCACCAUAAAUCUUAUUGGCAAUAUGGAGAGUAGCCCAAUCCUUAUAAGCACAUGCAAGGUCCCUUAAUUUCCCUAGCCCCUUCUCGUGUGGCGUCAUUUAGACACACAUGGACAACACAUAUUGAGUAACGUGGGUGGUCGUGGACCGUUGAGCUCAACACAUGGGUAAUCUGCCUUGAUACCAUAAAGGAUGUUAAGGGUUCCAUUAUAAAACCAGUUGGCAAUAUGCAGACUAUCCCAAUCCUUAUAAGCACAUGCAAGGUCCCAUAAUCAAAGGCUAAGAAGGGCAAACAUCAUACUUAGAUAACUAAUUCAUUUCCAAAAUGAGAUCAACGAGUCUCAUGUCUAGAGGAAUGAGAUUGACUGUCUCUAGUCAACUAGACUAGUACACUGGCGACAAUUCGCCGCUAUCUCACAAAUGAGCACUCAAAUGCAGAUUACGCAACGGUAGCUCCAGAGUUUAUGGUCUUAAUCACAAUAGUCUUGAAAAUAUGGCAAAAAUAAGUGUGUGAUGCACCAGUAUCUAUUACCCUAGCUUCCGGAUUAAACAAAAUAACCUUACCAUCUACCACAGCAUUGACUUUCUCUUCCAUCGCUUCUCCAGCAACGGCUACUUGACCACCUGCAGGUCCACAUGCUACAAAUUCGCAUCCACUGUUCUGUGGCAUUGGUGCUCUGUUCAUACUCUGUUGUGGCUGGGGAUGAACUGGAAAUUUCCCAACAUAUCUGUUUGACUGAGCUGGGUGCUGAACCAAUUCCAAGGGAUCCUUUGGGGCCAAAGAUGAUCCAGUCUGUUGGAAGCAGUUCUUGUGAACGUGUCCAACUUGACCACACAGAUAGCAGACUUUUUUUUCAAGAGGAGAUCCUCUGGAUGAGCCUUUGCCCGUGUUCUUUUUCUCACUCUUUUGGAUUAUCUUCUGCAUACACCGGACUGGCUUACCAAGAACUCUCUGACGACGUCCAUGAAUUCUCAGACGACGUUGAUGAUCCUGCACUAGGCAGCGUGAGGCUGCCACAACAUUGUCAUAAUCCAUGGUGAGCACUCUCUUACGACGUCCAUGAAUCCUCUGACGACGUUGAUGAUCCUGCUCCAGGCAGUGUGAGGCUGCCACAACAUUGUCAUAAUCCAUGGUGAGCACUCUCUGACGACAUCCAUGAAUUCUCUGACGACGUUGAUGAUCCUGCUCUAGGCACUGUGAGGCUGCCACAACAUUGUCAUAAUCAAUGGCUUAUGAGUACCGUGUAUUGUUGUAAUAAGCAUUUAAAUUCUUUCCAAAGAAUGUCUAAUCAGAAUGCAGAGUUGUCUUUAGUCAAUUGGCCUAGAAAUAAAUGAUUUGUUCCUGCUUCAAUAUUAAUGCUUCCUAUCCCUUUUUUUUUUUUUGUUAUUCACCGAAGGAUACAUAGCAGAAUACCUUUUUCUGCUGCACAGCAGUUAUUUUGACUUACUCAUGCAGCCAUGCUAGUAGUCCUAAUAUAAAAUCAAUGAAGAUUGAAAACAUUUGAAACAGAAAAAGAUUGCGUUAUUAAAAAAUAAAUGGAUGAUGUAACAAUGAACACAUCAUACCAUGUAUAAGAACAAAAUCAAAUUGCCCUUUCAUAACAGCCAUCAUUUUUACUCACUUUGCUACUCCCUCAUUCAAUACUUCAUUCUCUAAAUGUCCUUAACCUAUACUGUUUCUAAUUUAUUUUAUUCAAAUCUGAUAAAAGAAAAAAAUAAGCACGGAACCAAAAUUUCAAGAAAGAUACAAAACAAUAUAAUAACCAUUAUUAGUAAAAUAUCAGACUACAUAAAGCACAUUACUCACUCUGAGUAUGUUGGGUAACAUGUUCAGUAAUGACUGGCGGUGCAUCCUUAAUAAUUGGUUCAACAUCUGUGUUCAAAUAUUCAGAAUAUUUAUCAGUAGAAGUUCUACUUAAUUCGUGUUGGCCAAUGGAUUGGGAUGUAUCAUACAUGCUAUCCCACAUUCCACAUUUGAUAGAUGAGACCUGAAAAAUAAGUGCACACGCAACAUCAAUAAGAAAUAACUGGAGGAACUCAAACAAACAGCAGUAAUUAAUACCAAAGAAGCAAACUUACACAAACAAGUACUACAAAGCUGAAACGAUUGAUAGAGAUAACAUAGAAAAUUGGAAACUGUUAAGAAUGAUAAAUAAAAGCAUAAAUGUCCUCUAGAACCACAAAAAUGCAUUUUUAAAAAACUUUCUUUUACUACAUUUAUUCUUUCUCUUGUAAACAUAAGAUGAACUUCAACGGCAGUUCUGUAACGUAAUGAACUUUUCAAGGUAGCCUUCUAAAUAUGUUUUUGUAAUGAACUUUUCAAGGUAGCCUUCUAAAUAUGUUUUUUUGAGAAGAAACUAAAACAUUUUAUUAAAAAAGAAAAGUGGAAAUACACAGAAGUGGAUAAGAAAUCCACCAAGAAUAAGCCUUCUAAAUAUGUAGAAAAACUAAAAGGCAAGAUACAAAGUUAAGGAAAAGCCAAUGACUGAUGCAGUGCCUGAGCUAACAACUGUUGCCAGCACUAGCACCACACCUAUUUGUAAAUUAAAAUGCGAGAGAUGGGUAAUGUUCUAUUUCCAAAUACUCAGGUAUUAUAUUAAUUCCUUAAGCCCUCAAUAAAGAAUCACUUAUCACUGAAUAUUAAAUUAAAAUGCCAAGUAUCAAUUUAAUAUUGAGUUUAAUUUACAGAGCACCAGUAGUACUUAUGAGACUUAUGCAUAAACAAAGAAACAGGUAUAUCAGCUAGACUUCUAACAUCAACCACUGAAUAUUGCCAAAAAAAAAUACAUAAAUUUACAUGCACAAUAUGUUGGAGACUGAAUCAACCGAAUGACUUACAGCAACAUUCAAUAAUCCAAUCAAUGGGUCUGAAGCAAACAUUCUGCUGAUUUUUUUCGUCCUCUUAUCAUAACACUGAAGCAUGCUCCAAAGUACCUACAAGCAACAGAAGCCAGUUGCUGAGAACGCAUAUCUGUAGAACUUAAAUCAGAAGCAUUACUCAAAAACAAAACUAGAUCGAAAUCCCAAUAUUUCUUGGAUAAAGAUGCUCAAAGAGAGGUUAGACAUCUAAUCAUGCCCCAAAUAAAAAGUAUCCUCAUUUUGCAUCACAGAUUCUUUUUUUUCUUUUUUCGAAAAGAGAAUUUAAUUGUUAAAGGGCAAUAAAAUUACAUAGUACAGACAAAGUGGUCAAGAAAAAAACUCCUGAUAGGCUAAAAAGAAAAGAGAAACAAAAUCAGCUGAAACAAAAAGGCUUACCAAAAAGCAGAACUAACAAAUACCAGUUUGCCAAUUUAAAACAGAUAAUUGAAGCCCAUAGUGCAAACUAAAAACAAACUCUUUCCCAUAACUUUUCAACCCCUACACCAACACAAUCUUCAAAAACCAUUUUCUCUCUAUCAAAACCACCCAGAACACAGCCAAAGCUAUACAACCCCAUAUUAAUUUGGCCUUCUUAACCUUCCACACCGGUUGUGGCUCUUAUGGAGUAAGGAAAAGCAAUCCCGAGGGAUGAUCCCACUUUUUUCAUCUUCCUGAGAAACCACAAUAUCACAGGUAAUAAGGAAGAUACCAUCAACUGAUUCCAUGUUCUUCUUAUACAAUGUACCCCAAUGGGGGGACAGGCAAAACUUUGGUCUCCUUCUCUGACCACGCCACAAGUAUUUACCAUACCGUGAGUCACUAACCACUCUUUUCGCUCAAUUUGAAUUAUUCCCAACAAAUCCAAAUGCGGCAAAAAAUUCACAAUGCCAAGGACUAGUGCCAUAAUGCCCAACAGCCAGAAAAUAACAGUUUCUUGUCCAAACAAACCACACUACAAACAUAUAGAAACCUACUCCAAAUUGGUGGAAGGAAAGAGCAAUGCAAAGAAAUAAAAUCAGCUUCUAUGCACAUGCUACCAGCUCCUUUGCAACAAGACUCACCAACUCGGGGAUAAAGAUAGAUAUAUAUAUAUAUAUACACACACACAUUUAUAUAUAUGCUGUCCUUUUCCAGCUCGGUAAAGUGCAAAUAACUUACCAACUACACAUCGACAACCAUAGUGGCUGCACAUCGACAGCUGUGAGGCUGAAGUAUGGUCAGUCAUAGGCCCAUAAGUAUGAUCCCACAUGAUUUGUGAUGGAUAACAGUCCCCAUAAUCAUGGUCCAGUCAUAGGCAUGAUCUUCGAGGUAAGGGACCUCCAAAAAUAAAAUAGGACUCUUAAUGGCACCCCUCCUCAUGUCUCCCAAAGUCAAAUGGCUAAUUGACUUAAUGGGCGGGAUAAUGGACCUCAAAUCAGCCAAUCGCCAGAUUUCACUGGUCUUUCUUCGUUCCUGGAGUGCUACAAGUUUGAGGUGAGCAACGGGUAGAGGGUGAGGUUUUGGGAGGAUGGUUGGUUAGAGGGUGGACCGUUGAAAGAGCAGUAUCCUAGAUUAUUCUUGUUAUCGAGAUAGCACGACCAGAGCAUUUCAAGUUUUGUUGCUUUUUGUCUUCAGUCAUUGAGCUGGAAUUCUGAUUUCAGAAGAAAUUUGAAUGAGCUGGAGAUAGCAGAGGUGGCUAGGUCAUCACAGAAGGUGGAAAAAUGUUCGUUUGAUUCAAUCAAGAGCAGAUACUAGGUGGUGGAAACUAGACAGAUCAGGAUUGUUCACUUGCAAAUCCUAUAGCUCCUUCUUGUGCAACAACGGAACUGUGCAACAUUUUCCAACCUUUUCUCAGAUUUGGAAAUCAAAAGCUCCUCCGAAAGUCAAAAUUCUUGCGUGGAUAGUGGCUAUUGGGAAGGUCAACACCUGUGAUCAAGUUCAAAGGUGAAGGCCUUUUACUUGCAUUUGUCUUUAUUGGUGCAGUAGGAGGAGAGUGUUAAUCAUGUUUUUCUCCAUUGUUCUUACUCAAUACAAUUGUGUUGGAAAUUGUUCAAGGAAGUUAGAGCUAGUUGGGUUAUUCCAAAGGGUUGUUUCGAGCUUCCAAGCACCAACUUUGAGGCUUUAGGAAUGGGGAGGAAAGCUAAAACUUUGUGGGGCUGUUUGGUGUUGGCAGUUUUUGGAAACAUUUGGUUGGAGCGUAAUAGAAGAGUUUUUGAGGAUUAUAAGGGAGUGAGGGUAGAAGAACUACGGGGUAGAGUAAGAUACUGGGCAGCCCGCUGGGCAUCGGUUUUGAAUGAGUUCAGGGAUUAUUCUCUUUCUCAUAUAAAAAAUCUGAUGAAUUCCCUAUCAUUUGGACUUAAGUUCCUUCUAAGCCUCAAGUUCUAAGAAAUAUCCUGAGGUGAUGCUAGGCAAAGAUUACCGCACUAGACCAAUAAAAUGAGUCACCAUAUCAAAAACCUUCCCAAAAACAAAAUUUUACAUUCCAACACCAAAUUAAGACAAUAAAAAAAGAUAGUUCUAAAUUCAAUCAUAGGAACCCUCGACAACCCCCAUCCAUUGGAAUGCACCAUACUUACACCCGAUGAUAGAACACAACAUAGAGAAUACUAGAAGUAACUUGAAAGUUUAUCCCACAAGGGAUAGUUGAUAAGCCAGUGUAGCCCAACACUUUAUGACACAAUUUGGAAACUAAGGAUAAAAAUGUAAGUGAACUUAUUUCAAAUGUUUUUCUUUUUUCUUAAAAUGCCAUACAUAGAGGAUAUAAGGAUUUAUAGUUACAUUAACAUGGAAAACCCUCUAGCAUGUCAUUCCUUACAAUUAUUUUGAAUUGAGAAAAAAUUAGUAAAUCAAUGAAAUGUUCUAUCAACUAGAACUUCAUUUAAAGGUCUAAGAAAACAAUAUAUGUAAGGAACUAACAUGCAUCUGACCAAUAUACAGGACAUUGACAAGUGUUUGAUCUAGACAGCAAAAUGUAUCUUGAUACUAAGUUGUUCAUAUGACACAAUAACAGCAACAACAUACCUCAGUCACAGUCUGCUCCUUACAUGCAUCCUUCCAAGUUGUAAUAAACUUCCUCAAAAAAUCAUUGGAAACUGAAAGAUCAGUUUUAAUCAUACUACUGUCCUCCUCGGUUUCAUGGUCAUUCUUAGUAAAAAGAACAUCAUGUUCUACCUUGUCUCUCUUUCGUAAUUUUUGGGGGACAGAGAUGGGGCUGCUUAGAUUUUCGCACUUUCUUUUCUUUUUUACGGACCCAUUACCCUCAUUAUGCCUUUGGGUUCCACAAGCUGGAGAAGGGUGAUUUGUUCCGUGCAAAGGUCUCUCUUCUAUUGCAGAGACGUAAGUAGAGUUACUCACUUGGUCCGAAAUUUUAGCAGAUUGUAACGAAAAGUUAACCUCGGUGAAUGUAUGACCUUUAUCUUUGUCAUCUUCAUGUAAAAAAUCCUUACCACCUCCAUCCUUUGAACUUGAAGAAACAAAUCUAUCUUUCUUGCCACAAAAUUCCUUUUGUACAACAGAAAACAAUUCAGCAUGCUGAGAAAUGUCACAGAAAUGCUUGUCUAGCUGCUCAUUCAAUGAGGUAAGAAUUGGUGCCUUCUUCUUAUAGCGGCGCAUUCUAACUUGCUCUUGAGAUUUAAUUAGAGCGGCACGUUCUAACUUCCUGCCUUUCCGAAUAGAAGAAACGUGCACCCUAUGAUCAUGUAGUUUACUUCAAACAAGAGCAUUACAACAUAUAAUUUUCUAGUACUUUCAAAGGACUAAAAACUUAAGUUAUUCAAAACGCCUAUGCACGCCAAAUGUAAUUUUAACCACUCAAAGCAUCAAAGUGUAUCAAUCCAGUAGUCGCAACAUUUUCUAAAUAUGAGCAGAAGGGAGGGGUUGUAAAUCUUUUACCAUACAAAAUCAUUACAAUUAUUAGACACAAUGCCUAUCUAUCAUAAAAUAGAAGGAAAAAGAUGUGAGACGUACCCCAAGCUACAAAUUCGAAUUCCGAUAUUUUCCUUGCUUGCAACUGAUCGCCUCUUAACAAUAUAAUCCAAAAAUUCUUCAACAGAGACUUUACGUUUAUGUUCUUGAUAGAAGGUGAGUAAACAUAGUAUCUCCUCGCUAGUUAUCUUAAACACUUCAGUUGUAUCAGAACUCACUGGGAAAUAAUGCAAAACAAGGGGGUGACGGAACAAAGGGCCCAAUCCCAGCACUUCAAACUCCUCAAUAUCCUCAUUCUUGCAGAUUGCAAGUUCCAAAUCAUACAAAGAUGUAAUUCUUCGAGCCAGAACAAAGCAAUGGAUAAAUGAACUUAUCUACAUCACAAAAGAAAAUGAGUAAAAAUUAGAAAGAUUUAAUACAUAAGAAUACAAAUUUGUAUACAUAAUUUAUGAUAUGUUCCCAACGCAGAACAAAUCAUUUCCAAUUGCAAAUGAAAGGACAUUUAUCUUUUCCAUCAAUUACAUUCCUUUUCCCACACUUUCUAAGCAACCAAACCAAGUGUUUACACAAUAUAUAUAUAUACAGAGAGAGAGAGAGAGAGAGAGAGAGAGAGAGAGAGUGAGUGAGUGACUAUUACCCUGCCUUCGGUGAGCAUGAGGCGGUGAAGAGAAGGGACUUGAUGCAUUUGAAGCCCGAGAAGAAAGCUCCAGUCAUCAACCUUGAGCGUCACAAGCGCAGACUGUAACACCUUCCACGCCGAGACGCUCCUUCCUGCCGCCACAAAAUCACCGCGAGCCUUUUCGACUGCCCGAUCGAUCCUCUCCAGCAUCUCUUUCAGGUUCUCACAUGAAGUCUGAGGCCGAAACGCAGAAUUUGGGAGCUGUUGAGGAUCGACAUUGGGUUUCGGGUUCUCAGAAGAGGUCUGGGGCUGAAACGUUGGAUUUGGAAGCUGUAGGGGAUUAAAAAUAGGGUUUUGGAGCGGGAAGCUAGGGGUUUGGAUUGGGAAAUUAGGGUUUUGGAAUAUAAAAUUAGGGAAAUUGGGGUUGUGGGCAAGGUUGGGGGCAAAGGCGGGGUUUUGAGGAUAAAUAUAGGAUGAAUUGGUGGGGUUUUGGUUUUGGUUUUGGUUUUGGAGAGAGAAAUUGGAGUUUAGAGGUUGUGGGUAUGAUUGCUGAGGCGGCGGCGGUUGUCGCCAAUCCCGUUCUCUGGCGGAGGGCGGUCGGAAAAUAGAAGGGUGCCUGAACAUGGCGGAAAGAAACAGAGUGAAACUGGACAGCGGUGGACAUCCCUUUUAUUUAAAAAAUAAAUAAAUAAAAAAAUAAAAAUAAAUAAAAAGAGUCUCCAUGCGUUCCACGCGUGGCUCCCUCUCGUCUCUCCUGUCGCUGCACUAACGAGGUCGUCCAGGUGUCAUUAAUUUUGGUAAAGGAUCCUCGUCUGGGGAUCUAGAUAUUUCGUGAUUAUGAUAUAUAUCGUAUAGUAAAUUUUUGUUAAAUAUUAUUUACAUUUAAUUUUAAAAUAAUUUUUAACUGCACGAUGUAUAAUGAAUGAUCACGAUAACGGGAUCCAUAUAAUCCCUAGGAAAAUGAUCGGAUCCUUUUCCGAUUUAUUUUGUUGAUGCUCCAAACUUUUAGACUUUGGAAAUGCUGGGUGAAGACAAUAUUUGUUAUCAAAUCACAUGACGUGACAAUUAUUGGAUGAAUAUUUUUGAUAAUAUUUUUAAAAUAUAAGACCAUCUCCAAUCCUGUGCUAAAAGCCAAAUUACCCUCCAAAUUACCCCCAAAACACUCUCCAACCCAUGCUAAAAUUUUAGGCUAAAUGCCAAAUGCUAUUUCUGGGCCAAAUACCCCCCCCCUCCAGCUUUCCCCCGGGCUAAAUGCGAAAUGUUUAUCGAAAUUUAAAUUUUUUUAGAUUAAAAUGUUCAUAAAAUUAAUUUACAAUAAUCUACAUAUUUAUUUUUUUUUAAAUUGAUUUAAGAAAAAAAUUUAGGCUAAUUUCAUUCUUUAAUAAUUCCGGGCUAAAAUUUUAGGGUAGAAGGGUUGGAGCAGAAAAGAUGUUUCUGGGCUAAAAGCUAAAUUUUCUGGGCUAAAAAAUUUGGCUUUUAGCCCAAGGGUUGGAGAUGGUCUAAGGAAAUAAUUUGACCAUAUUUGUAUGUUAAAUUCUUUAAUUAUGAAUCACAUGAUAUGAUUUACAAAAUAUGGGUUAAAGAAAUGGUUUUUUUAGCAUCACGCAUUUCCUAAAACAAGGAAAAUUUAUUGGUCAGGAGCUAUUCAGCGUUAGAUGAAGGACCCGUUAACUCAUUGCACUAUCAACUUUGUGUUAUAAUUCUAACGCCAUUUGGAUCUUGCUCUUUGACUGUCUUUGGGUUUUUCACACAUUAUUCCAACCUUGCCGCACCCUAUUUAUAAGUAUAAGGUGCGGCUCAGAUGUCAUUUUUCCACAUUAUGUUUCGUAUUCUAAAUGGACAAAGUACACUUUCUUUCCAUUUCCAAAUUAUCUUAUAGGAUUCCUAAUCUAAUUGAACAAGGAAACUAAGAUUCUUUCCUAGUUCUUUUAAGAGAAGAAACGGUGCAUCCCUUACAUUACCUACACAAUCCUAAACAAAAUAAGACACUAACUUGACCAGCCAAAAUCCUAACAAUCUCCACCUUGGUGAGUCAAACCAAGUCUUGACUGUUGCAUCCCAGAGUAUCUUCGAACCUUCUUGAAGUAGCACUGCAAAUCUUCAAGAACCUUCACCUUGACAAUCUUCUUCUUGCCUUCUUCCACCUCAAGUGAGGAGGUGCUCUACCUUAAUCAAUCAAUGAGAUUGAUAAGUUCAAGCAAUGCUUGAACUUAUUGUCUGGCAUUAUCUUCAUAAGGAAGUGUGUGAUGAAAUCACGUGAUGUGACAGUUAAGUACUAAGAAAUGAUUGGACCAUAUUUGUAGAUAAAAUUCUUUAAUUAUUAAUUGCAUGAUAUGGUUUACAAAAUAUGGUUUAAGCAAAUGGUCUUUCUAGCAUCACGCGUCUCCUAAAACAAGAAAGAUUUAUUGACCAUAAGCUAGGCAGCGUUAGAUGAAGGACCCAUUAACUCAUUGCACUAUCAACUUUGUGUUAUGAUUCUGACCCCCUCUAGAUCUUGCUAUUUUGAUGUAUCUGGCCAUAGACAAAAACUUAGCAAAAUAGAGAAAAUCCGAAACACAAGAUUUAUACUGGUUCAUCAGAAUUUUUGCGUACGUCCAGUUGUGAUUUCUCUAGGUAGAGAAAUCACGGCUUCCUUGAUUAAUAAUAAAGUUAAUACUUUUGCAAAAACCCUUAGAACUAAUCGCCUUUACACUAUAUUGACUGUCUCUAGCUUUUUCACACAUUAUUCUAGCCUCGCACCCUAAUUUAAGUAUAAGGUGCGGCUUACAUGUCUUUUUUCCAGAUUAUGUUUCCUAUUCUAAAUAGACUAGGAAAGUACACUUUUUUUCGUUUUUCAAAUUAUCUUCUAGAAUUCUUAAUCUAAUUGAAUAAGGAAACUAAGAUUCUUUCCUAGUUCUUUUCGGAGAAGAAUCGGUGUACCUUUUAUUUUCCCUACACAAUCCUAAACAAGAUAGGACACUAGCUUUGAUGAGCCAAAAUCCUAACAAUCUGCACCUUGGUGAGUCACACCAAGUCUUGACUGUUGCAUCCCAGAGUAUCUUCAAACCUUCUUAAAGCAGCUCUGCAAAUCUUCAAGAACCUUCACCUUGACAAUCUCCUUCUUGCCUCAUUCCACCUCAAGUAAGGAGGUGUUCUACUUAAUACUGGUUUGAUACUGAGGUGCUUUUAUAAAAAGUGAGUAUAAAAAAAAAGCUGAGCUCAAAAAGGUGUUUGGUAAACACUUAAAACAGCUUAUUUUCACAGUUACAGGUGAAAAAAGCUAAAAAUGUGAAGCAGCAAAAAUGAGCUUAUUCUCAUAGCACAACAAAAACAGUUUUUUUUCAAAGCACAACAAUAUCAAACCAAACCUUAAUCAAUCAAUGAGAUUGAUAAGUUCAAGCAAUGCUUAAACUUAUUGGCUGACACUAUCUUCUUAAGGAAGUCUACGACAUUGUCGUCUGUGUGAACCUUUUCAACCAAAUCUCCUCAGAUUCCACCAAAUCUCUGAUUUUGUGAUACCUUGCUUCAAUGUGCUUUUAUCUUUCAUGAAAAACCUGAUUCUUUGCCAAGCGAACACUUUAGCUGUCACAUAAUCUUGAGUGAUUCUAUUUGGCCUACCAAGCCACUAAGCCAAAUUGCUUACUUUCCAGCUUCGGCCAAAGCAAUGUACUUUGCCUCUGUGGUCAACAAAGUUGUAAUUGGUUGCAGUAGUGCCCUCCAACUAAUUGGUUCUCCUGCACAUGUAAAGACCUAACCAAAAGUUGACAUUCUCUUGUUCAACUCCCCUGCAUAAUCGGCAUCCGCAUAUCCCCACAUUUUCUUUUUGCUUCUCAAACAUGAUUGCUUGUCGCCAAGAACCUUUUAAGUAACGCAAAAUCCACUUGACUGCAUCCCAAUGUUGCUUUCCUGGAUUUACCAAAAACCUUUUAAGGAACGUAGCCUGGUACACCAAGUAUACAGAGUCGUGUUCCCUGCACAUUGAAAUAUUUAUCCGAGAUGGGUGUGUGUAGCACACAACUACAUGCUUUAGUUGUUUUUCUUCUUCUCUGAUUAAAAAAAAUUACGUUUCUUGAAAAUUCCACUCCACUCAUCUCCAAAACUCAAAUUAUGUUCGAGUAUGGCGCAGCUUGUGUUUUAGUAUGAAAGGAACUGGAAAAGAAUGCCAACCAAAAUAACAAGAUGGUCGAACAACAGCGCGUUCUUGCGGAGAGAAAACGUCAUAUAUAUAAUCCUCGAAAGCACAUAAAAAACUGAAAGAACAUUGAUAACCUAAAAUGCAGAACUUGAAGUCCUCAACUUUCUUUACUGUGGUCAAAAAACUGUACAAAAUCUUUGAUAAGCAACUGUCAUCCAGAUAACAAAACCAAGUAAAUUCUGUACAUAUAUACAUUGUUGCCAGAGACAUUUCCUAUCCAUUGUACAUACAGACACCACAGAGGAGAGUUCACUCCCACUCCUAUUAAAAUCAAUGAAGGGGACUGAAUUGUUUGAAUAAAUAUGAAGAAUCCCGGCUGACAGCAGGAACCACACAGAUAAAAAUUUUGAACGAACAGUUCCCGGCAUGUUCAACUCCAGCACAAUUUUCACCCAAAAGUCAACUUUUGGUUGGAAAUCAACUGGCCUAUGGCUUUCCAAUUUGAUGUGAAAAAAUCCGAUUAAAUAAGCAGAUCGUCCGCUGCCACAUCAACUGAGAUAGGCCAAUUGGGCAUGCAGUAGAGACCACAUGAAGUACCUUUUAGGACUGGGAAACAAUGGAAAAUUCCUUCUGCUGCUCAGGCAUCAAGACAGCCAAACGUAGUUUGUGAAGCUGGCACAAUUUUGCAAGAUUGUUGAAUACUGAGACCCUUGCAACAUUAUUAUCCAAUAAAACGACAUGUGCAAUACUGAAAGCUUCACCUUUCUCAACCGCAAAUUGCAACUCUCUCAUUGAUAUUUCAAACCAGUCUUUUCUUGUAGACUUGGUUGCUUUAACUUCAAUGUACUCUCUACUAUUUUCCUUCCCUCCCAGAACUAUGUCAUAUGGUAGCCCAGUUUCGUUAUGUUCAUUAACCCACUUAACAACUGACUUGCCAGCUUUGUCAACAAAAUAUUUAAAAGCAACAAGCUCACCUAGCCGCCCAGUUAAAAUUGCUUGUGUCGAAUUGGGUGUACCAAAUCUAAGCUGAUCUCUCUUGCUAAAAUUAGAUGAACCAAAGUCAGGAGCAUCAGACACAGGACCAAAACUACUAGGAUCAAACUGGAUAUGCAUUGACAAGUCAGCCUCAUUGUCAGCCUCACUACAAUGUUCUUGCAGACGAUUGGAGUCUGGCAAAACUAAAGCUGCAGAUGUUGCUGAACAAUGUUCAAUUGUCCAAUUAGUGUCAACCGAAACAGGUGUCAAAUUAUCUGUUUGUCUGCUGAUACCUUCAGAAUCAUCACCCAAUUUACUUUGUACAACCGUGUUAGGCUGUGAACCUGGUGCCUGCGUCUUAAAACCAUUUGCACGAGCAUAACCAAACCCUGGUGCAGUUUUCCAAUCAACAGGAGGCCAGGUUGCUGCUUUGCUUUUGGAUUUCAAACUGCUUUGUUCAUUUACUACGGUUGAAAUAGAACUUGUCUGCAGUGGUUUAUCACUCCUCGUUAAGGAAUGCACAGAAGACAAGGACCAAACAGAUUCACCAUCAGGAAGCUUUGGCACCUUUUGGCUAUUUAAGAUGAAAAACUCUGUCUGCUCCUCAUUUGAACCUGACUCUGCCAUGGUUGUGAUCAUAUGAAGGAAAUUUGCAAAGUGCAGUUCAGGACUUCCAUUAAAAAAUAAACGAGAAAGCUCCAGAAAUAAUGCGUGAGAAUCUGACUCUUGGGUUGUAUACAAAAUGCUACCCUGUAUUUGUGAAAUGAAAGGAUUAAGUGUAUGAAAGUGAGAAAAAUUGCAAGUACUCAUCACACCAAAUUCUUGGUAGAAUUAUCUUCCGGAAUCAUAAAACUAUGAGAAACACCAUUUAAUAAGAGAAGUUGAUUAAAAGGAGGAACUUUUAGGGGAUGCAUAAUUUACAUUUUCUAUUUUACCAGAACAAAGUAGGAGGAUGGUGUCACUAUUUUACCAGAACAAAGUAGGAGGAUGGUGUCAAGUAACCUGCAUAAGAUGUUUCACAUACUAAAUCCUUGUAUUUCAGAAGGAUGCAAGUAUAUUGUGGUUCCAGGUAAAGUCUAAAUCAGUUUUAAGUAUAAAAGGAGCAUUAUGAAACACAAACAGCAGGCAUUCACAUUCAAUGAAGGAUGAAAUAACAUACCGUCAGAAGGCAACUACAUUCAACUUGCUUCUUGGAUUCACUUCCAGUACCCUUUAUAACAUUCCGGUAAAACAGCUUUUCAACAACUACUACUUGCAAACAGUUCAGAAAUUCAGACUGCUUGAGUUGAGAAUAUUUAUCUGGGUGUACACCAUUUAAGUACCGCUGAGCAUAUGGAAGAGCCCAAUCCAGCAAUGCAGCUUUAAAGCUAGAGUCUUCGAUACCAGAAUAUAUUGCCUCGCGAGUUACAACCUGCAUGUAAACACAAAGGUAUGGGGAAGUUUCAGGUGCAUGAGUUAAUUUCCAUAAUUUAGUUUUCCAUUUUCUUUUUCAAACUGAUAACCCUGAAUUUUGUAAUACAAUGCAUUGUUCAAUUUAAUGUGGCAUAAUAAUGCAUAGCAACUUUAGAGAUUAUUAUGACGUAUUGAAUUCCAUUUAAUACUCAAACAUGUUGCUUAAGUUUCAUACACAUGCUCACGUGACAUGUGCAUGUUUGUGAACAAAUAGAGACAUGUCUCAGCUCCGCGCACAUAAAGACAUAUCUUAAUCUUACCUCUGAAAGAGCAGGAAUCCCUAAAGUCUGCAUGAGGAUGGACACUUUCGUACAUAGCAUCUCUUCAUCAUCUUUACUCAGUUCACCCAAGUACAGAAAAUCAAUGCCAUCCAAGUGCUUAAACUGCUUGCUUAAUUUCUUAUCAUCACACCAGCACACAAGACCAAAUGACGGAUGUAGAGAAACCCACUUAUCUUGUAAAGUAGGAAGCACCGUACAUUCAAUCUUUGUAAGCAAAUCUUUCAAAUAAAGAACAUCCUCAGCACUCAAUCCUGAUUUUAAUCCAUCAGUCCACUUCAGGAAAACUUGAAAAACCUGACACAAGCAACACAAAACAUUUAGAUCACCCUGCGGCUUGCAUUCAUUGUCAUAUUUCUCUAAACUUGGUUACUUAGUACUUACUGCACUAGCUGCUUGUGAAGGCAAAGCAACAUUUGAUAAAUGAAGCAAAAUCUGAAUGUAGCUUCGGAGAGGAGGGGUUUCAUGUACUCCACAGACGUUAACAAAGAAGUCAUGAAGGCCUGGGUAGAAAUUGCAAAGCAUCUUAAUCAAUGGGCCAUGAGCAACACCUGCUGAGCUGCACUGACGAUGAAUUUCUCUGAUUUGGUCUACAAACGACGUGGAAUCAUGCCAGUAUACUUCUGCAGGGGACAACAAUGUACCACAUACCACAUCCUCGUGCCUGAAGCUAGAUGCAUAAGGAAUAAAUAUAGAAGGUCCUGAAUGGAAAACCUCUGCAAUUUUCUCCGUUGAAGCAGCCAUUUCAUUCCAGAUUAAUGUGUAAAAUUUCAACAUUUGCCCUAGGCUGGAAGACAAAAGAAAAGCCGACUUUAAAGUGUGCAAUCUUUUUUUUAAGAUGCAAAUUUUUUGCAGACCGUGCAAAAUUAAACAAAUACAAUAAGAGUAAAGCGUACAUAUAAAUAUAUGUUUUGUGUCGAGCAUUGCUUAAGGUUGUGAUUUUGAAGGGACAUAUAUCUCCCUAUAAGAACAUUGCUUAAAAUUACCUCCCGAUUAUGUGGAUCUAAUGCCUAUAAAAGCAAAUGAUACUGUAGAGGUAAUGCUCUAGGUUUAAGCACUUCAAUUUCUUUGGUAAUAGUAUUCACAAAAUUGGUGAAACCAAAACAUUUAGCCUAAGAUAUAAGAAAUAAAAGCUAAUGAUAUCACUCCUGAAUAAAAUGAGGUCAAUCAUGAUGGAGGGAAAAUCAUAAUCAUACCUGGCCUGGAAUUCAUUUUCACGCCUCCAUAACUUCAAGACCUCCAGAGCAUCGUCAAGAGAAACUAUUGUCUUAAAGCCAAUAUCACGUACGAAAUUCUCACUUCUCACCUGUUUCAAAAGAAUAAAAAAACAAUGGAGCACAUGGAUCAAGAAACUUCAAACAACAUUUAAGAUUUUGUACAGCUGAAAUUGUAGUUAUUAUAUCCACAGUAUAGCAUUGUCUCACAUCCAUGUUAUAGAACAUAUAGCAAUCGAAAAGUAUGCCGCUACGCCUUCCAGAAACAACAUAUGCAAAAUAUUCUUGAGGUGUAUUGCUCAUUUCAUAGUGGAAACAAUAGGGAUUGCUAAAGAGGAUUGGAAUCUAGAGCUAUUGAUUUUUUUCUUUUUCAAAUUUGGUAAUAAUAUAGACCUGUAAUCAAAAGAUGCAGCCAUCUCCAAAUUCUAAACAUAUAAUAAAUUCUAAUAUCUCUAACUAGGUGUAAUUUCAUUUUUUUAUUUAAUAAAUUUUCACCUCAUACAGUCGAGUUUUCUCUUGAAAAAAACAAAAGUUUCAUUCCAAUAUAGGUACCAAAAUCUGAGCCACAUUCUCUAAAAAAAAAACAAAAGGUUCUGGAACAUCACUGUAAGAAUCAAACAACCACCGCAGACUGCUUCACAUAGGAAGGGACCAGACCUGAGUUGUGGAACAAAUAAGACUUGGAGUUGAGUUUGUUCGAAAAUUUAGCAUCAGAUAUGCCAUAAUUAUUCGGUGGUAAAAUACUGAACAACUGUGCUUCACUUGACCCUGGUUGGCUCAAUAAAAAAUGAAUAACCACAUUCCAGAACCCAAAAUCCCCAUGACUUUGACAGAAUCAUAAAUCUUAACCCUCAUAUGUCACCACGUAUGAAGAAAAUGGCCAGAAAAUCAACAAACCAUUUAAAAAGGGAGGAUUAGAUUUGAGAGAGGUUUUGCUUUGAUGAAGAUGGCAUGGGUGUUGCAUUAGCGAGUUUUGAGGUUAAUAAUAGCGACACCCAGGCCAUCUUAGUCAAGUAAAAACCUCUCCCAACAUAAUCCUCCCAUUUUAAAUCGUUUCUUGAUUUUGUGGCUUAUUCUUCAUUUUGCACAUGUAAACAGUUGGAUAUGAAUUAGUAGGUCAACAGAGAGGCGGUGGGGGAAUUAUUAAGGAAGUACAGCGUCCAAACAGCAACACCGUAUAAAUAAUGUUAAUUAAUUUCGGACAACCAAUUCGGGUUCAUGCCAGGGCGCUCAACCAUGGAGGCAAUCUAUCUCUUACGAAGAUUGAUGGAAAGAUAUAGAGAUGGGAAAAAGGAUUUACACAUGGUCUUUAUAGAUUUGGAAAAAGCGUAUGAUAGGGUCCCAAGAGACAUUCUUUGGAGGAUUUUAGAGAAGAAAGGAGUACGAGUAGCAUAUAUCCAAGCUAUAAAGGAUAUGUAUGAAGGAGCAAAGACUGCCGUAAGAACUCAUGAAGGACAAACCGAAAGCUUUCCCAUAACUGUAGGAUUACAUCAAGGCUCAUUCUUAAGUCCUUACCUUUUUGCGUUGGUAAUGGAUCAGUUAACAGGACAUAUUCAAGAUGAUAUUCCUUGGUGUAUGCUUUUCGCAGACGAUAUAGUGUUGAUAGAUGAAACUCAGGAAGGGGUAAAUGCAAAGCUUAACCUUUGGAGAGAAGUGUUGGAAUCUAAAGGUCUUCGCCUAAGCCGAUCAAAAACAGAAUAUAUGGAGUGCAAGUUCAGUGCAAAUGAAGGCCAAAACAAGUUAGGGGUGAGGAUCAGAGAUCAAGAAAUACCAAAGAGCGACCGUUUUCGUUAUCUAGGAUCUAUCUUGCAAAAGAACGGAGAAUUAGAUGGAGAUCUCAACCAUAGAAUACAAGCUGGAUGGAUGAAGUGGAAGAGUGCAUCUGGCGUGUUGUGUGACCGCCGUAUGCCACUGAAGCUCAAGGGAAAAUUUUAUAGGACGGCAAUAAGGCCGGCGAUGCUGUAUGGCACAGAAUGUUGGGCGGUGAAGCAUCAACACGUACACAAAAUGGGUGUAGCGGAGAUGAGGAUGCUUCGCUGGAUGUGUGGGCACACGAGAAAGGAUAAGAUUAGGAAUGAGGAUAUCCGGGGUAAAGUAGGAGUAGCCGAAAUUGAAGGAAAGAUGAGAGAAAAUCGGUUACGGUGGUUUGGACAUGUGCAAAGAAGGCCUACUGACGCUCCGAUUAGAAGAUGCGACUAUGGGACAGAGGUUCAGGGCCGAAGAGGUAGAGGAAGACCUAGGAAAACUUUGGAAGAGACUCUAAGAAAAGACUUAGAGUACUUGGAUCUAACGAAGGACAUGACACAGGACCGAGCACAAUGGCGUUCUAAGAUUCAUAUAGCCGAUCCCACUCAGUGACUUGGAUUUUCCAAGUCUCCAAUCGAGAAGUUUUCCUCACUCAGAAAAUUAAGGGAACACUACCCCAACCUACAUGCUCCACUCAGAAAACUUCAACAUACAAGCUUCAACAAAAGAAAAUUCAAAGAACUUAGCGAAGAAGGCUUUGGUGUAUUUAACACAAUACGUUGAAAUGAAGAAAAGCUUAUUUAUUGAUAUCCCCGAUAAGCUACAAAUAUGUACAUAUACAUGAGUCAAAAUAAACAAACAAGAUGGAGCCUUCACAAAGGUUGCUUAGGAGAAGUCUCAGCAGUCGGUAGAGCCUCAGAAAGAGAAAGCAUCGGAGGGGGAUCAUUCGGAGCCUCAGUACUGGACAGAACCCUAGAAGGAGGAGGCAUCAGAGGUUGAUCAUUUGGAGCUUCAUUACGCGGUACAGCCCCAGAAGACGAAGGCAAUAAAUGCCUUUGGAACAAACCCACAAAUCUCUGAUGAUCAAGUAAAACCUGACCAUCAGUUUCCUUCAUCUGGUCAAGCUUCAUCUUCAUGUUUGUAGCAUAGUCAUGUGCGAGCCGGUGCAACUGUUUAUUCUCAUGCUUGAGCCCUCUAAUCUCCUGUUUGAGACUCAUCACUUCGGCCGCCAAUGAUUCAACUUGGCGGGUUCGAGCAAAUAGGCGUUGGGCCAUAUUAGACACAGAACCUGCACACUGAACACUGAGAGCCAGCGAAUCCUUAACAGCUAACUCAUCAGACCGUUUGGAAAGUAGUCUGUUAUCUUUGGGAGUGAGAAGGUUCCUGGCCACCACCGCAGCGGUCAUAUCAUUCUUCAUCACGGAAUCCCCAACGGUAAGAGGACCAGUAGGGGAGACGAAGCAUGGGCGCCAUAUGUUGUCUGGAGAAGGCGGGGUUGCCUCUUCAACAAGGUUCAAGUCAAAACGACGGUCGGAGGGGCCAGACAUUUUCAAAGGUGUUGAAGAGAGAAGAGGUCGGACAAAUCAAGAUCUUAGAAGUGCAAGAAUGGAGCUUCUACUGGUGGAGAUUCAAGUGUGCUUUGGAACUUAAUGCCAACCCUUAUAAAAAGCUGCACUCGACGGAGCUUCAGACAUCGAAGAGGCGCCUGCCCAGAAAUCGAAGAGGCGUUUGCUUUCUCAAAAGCUGGGCUGCUUAGAGACCACGAGGGUUGAUCGCAUAAAUCGAAGAGGUGUUUGCUUUCUCAAAAGUUGGGCUGCUCAAAGACCACGAAAGCCGAUCUCAGAAAUCGAAGAGGCGCUCGCUUUCUCAAAAGCUGGGCUCCUCAGAGACCACGAGGGCUGAUCUCAGAAAUCGAAGAGGCACCUACUUUUCCAGCCUUGUCAGCACCUGUCACACGCACACUCAGCUUUGCCGAAAUUAUGGGUAUUCUGUCGAAGACUUCUGGGGAAGUAGAAAACACAUGAAUCUUACUGUCCAAUCACCCACUUCCCACACGCAACAAUAGCUCAUGGGUACCACAGAUAACUUUGCCAAAGUUCUCUGCCAAAGUUGAGCACGUGAAGCUUGCAGCUCCCACUACAUCGCUCUGACCAAGAAGGGUAAAAGAAUAGCAAAGAAACAGCACUAACAAAGUUUAGACCCAUAAAUUUUGAAGGUCUAGCUACCAUAUUAUUACCCACAAGGGUAAAGGAACAGUACCACUGCUGGAUAAUUGGAAAGUCCCUGUGUGUCAACCUCUGUGCCUCGUGGCAAGGUAGACUAGCAAACAUGCCCAACCUUUACUCACAUUCGAGAAAACACUCCCAAUAAGAUUGAUUGCUCCAAAAUCGAAGAGGCACCGUCCUCCGAAUCUCGAGAGCCAGACUCCCAACAUGACUACUUUCUCAAAAAGCGAAGAGAGGGUAAAGGAACAGUACCAUUGCUGGAUAAUUGGAAAGUCCCUGUGUGUCAACCUCUGUGCUUCGUG